CCUCUGCAGGAGGAGGCUCCAGCUCUCCCCAGAGGCAGGAGCUGGGAUUCUGUCUCUUUAAAUUCUACAGGGCUGGUUGCUAAGUAACGGAGCUCUGCUGUUUCCUGGCUGCAUUGCAGUGGGGCCACACUCUGCCCUGGUGCCAGGGACACGGGUGGUGGCCAUUUCCCAGGCAGUGACCCGAGAGUGGAGGGGCCCCAUCAGUUCGGGCUGUGGCUCGGGCCUUGCGGCUCGGGCCCAGCUUCAGCUGAGGCUCCCGAACCAGAGCUGGGUGAGCCCAAGCCCAGCCCACCAGCCAGCCAGCCCUCCUGUCGGCGCCUGCCUCGAAAGCCAGGCUCGACCAAGACUCCAGAUCCUAACUGCAAAGGCAAAAAGCAUUCUGCUACUGAAGUUCAUGGGAAAUUACAGGACUCUCUAGAUCGUGGAACAGGGUCUACCUCUGCUACGCAGCUAGGUGGUCACAGAGCGGAAGCCAAGGGACUCGAAGGAAGACUGCUGGAAGUUGGUCCUUUUCUCAAAAUGCUGAAAUACUGAUGUCAACUUGGAAAAAAGUGGCUGAAACUGGCUUAUUGGAAUACCAGGUACUGAGAACAUAUGUUGAAUAGACUUGCUAUUCUCCCUCUGGAAAAUUCUUCUCAUGGAAGCUUUUAUGGUAUGGUGUUAAAUCUAUAUUUAUAUGUCUACGUCCAAAUCUACUACUUUGAAAAUGUGUUUGCCCUGAUAGCUUAGGGGUUCAUUUGGUUUGGGGGAGUGCUGUGUGUUUCUCUUAGUAGCUACAAAGUAAUGUGAGACUUGGGCAGUGAGAAAUCCUAUCAGAUUUCUAACUGUGAUAUGGAAGAGAGGAAGUGUUUGCUAAUAAUUUCAGAAAAAAAGAGUCUUCAUUAAAUUGUAAUGGUCUGGAGUGAAGGGGAAAUAAGGAAAGGAAUAGUUCACAGUAUCCAAAACUGAGUUAAAAUUCCACUGUCCCUUACCAUAAUGAAGCCCCAGGUAGAGGACUGUGUCCAGUUUUGGGUGCCAUGAUUUAGGAAGAACAUUGAUAAGCCAGAGAGUGAUCAAAUGAGGGUGAAACGAGAUGGUAAAGGACCUCGAAUUCAUAUCCUAUGAGCACUGGUUAAAGGAAUUUGGGAUAUUUGGUCUGGAGAAGAGAAAAAUGAGGGAAAUAUUAUAGCUGCAUUAGAGAAAGAAGGCAUUUAUAUUGUUCUGUUUGGCCCCACAAGGCAGAACUAGGAGUAAUGGUGGGGAAAUGAUUAAAAAAAGCAAAGUGAAUCUUGAUGGAAGAUACAACUUCUUAACAAUCUAAGUGAGAUGGGCUCACUUGGGAGGUAGUGGGUCGCCCCCUACUGGAAAUCUUCAAAGUCUGAAUGAACACUUGUUAGAUAUGUUGGAAAAGGUGUUCCUGGUCAGAUAGGAGCUGGAAUAGAUGAUCUCUGAGGUGUCCUCCUUCUUUGAGAGUCUAUGACUCAGAUUCUGUAAAUAACUAUGUAUUUGUAAAGAAAUUCCUGGAUGGUCUUUUGAAUAUGGAAAUUAGAAAACUGAGUUUUGAAUGUUGAAGAUUUUCUUUCUACACAAGAGAACAAGGGACAUCUAUCUGAACUCUGUUUUCAUAUGUGAGGAUGAUAAUUAUAUUACAGAUUAUUACGAGGUAAUUUGACCCUAAAUUCACUCAAAUGUUCUAACAACUUGCUGGGAAGAGUGACUAUGUAUGCUACGCCAUCUUUACACAAAUAAGAUACUAACAUAGAACAUUGAGUAACUCUGAAAAGUUAAUGCCAAUCAUCAGUGCUGGUGACAUCUGAAAUUUGAUGGAAAUAUGAAAUUGAAGUAGUUAGGCAGUGAUUAGAAGAAAGUGUUAGCGCUAAAAAAGUGGCACUAAUGGGAAAAGUAUUGACCAACUUUAGAACCAUUAGGAAUUUCGCGAUUUGUAUCUUGGAAAACUUCAUUCAAGAUAAUAUAUGAACUUUGGAAACUUAUAUGAGAUGAAUUAAGGGGUUUAAGUGCUUUCAUUCCACUUGUAAGGUUUAAUAGUCUUAAUUUAUUUGGUGCUCUUUCUACUCUAUGAUUGGUGUGUAUGUUAUUGUCUUAAUUUUUCCUGUUACUCAUUUGGCCUAUAUUUGUGGGUUUCAAUUAUAUUAUUAUGAUAAUGAUAUACUGUAUGUGAACAAGAGCAGGGAAGUUUUGAGAGACUGUAAAUUAAGCUAAAAGAAUGGAUCGACUUACUGAUACAUAUAGGUAGCUUCAAGAUAGUCGGGUAUUUGCUAGUAAUGAUAUAGAAAAGAUAAUUGUUUACUAACUACUACAUAACAAUUUAAAUAUAUAGUUUGAUCCUUAGAGAUUGUGUUCAGAGAAUAGAAAGAGACCCAGGGAACUGUGUAUUUACAUAGACUAGGGAAUGGGUCCAAAGAGUAGAGAGACAUCUGGGCAUCUGUACCAAAGUGGACAUGUAAGGAAUGUGGUCAAUGAGUAAACAGAGGUUGAAGGGUCUGAUCCAAAGAAGAAAGGUCCAGGAAUAUGUCCAAAGACUAGCAAGAAUAUCUGAGAGCAUUCACCAGUCAGGUCAUGGAAGAUAUGAAGAGAUGAGCUAGAUAAGCUUGUACCCCAAACUAAAAAGAUCAAAUAAUAGGCCUAAAGGCUAGACAGAGGGCCCAACAGUUCUCUCAAUGAUCAUAGGCAUUAAAAUAUGUACAAAAGCAGACAAGAAAGGGAUCCUUCCUGAAGGUGGCUGCUCAGAGAAUAGAUUCAAAGAAUAGAUAGUGAGUCAGAGAUCUCCCUUCAGGUGAACAAGUCAGAAAGUAUGUCUAUUGAGUAGAGAGAACAUCAAAGAGAACUAUCUCAAGUUGGAGAGGCUAGAGAAUUCAUCGAGAGAAUGGACAGAGGCCAGUGAUAUUGAUCAUAAAGGAUAGAUUACAGCACAUAGAGAAGAUAGAAACCCAGGUCCCUUUCUUAAAAUGGAUAGGUCAAGGAAAGUGUCCAUAUCAUGGAUCCAGAGCUUAUAUAAUGGUCUAAGAAUCUAUCCCAAAGGGGAGGGAUUAGAGGAUGCUUCCAAUGAAUACAAAGAGGGCCUGGAAUAUGGCCAAGAAAAUUUGUCUGGGGAAUAGGCAAAUAUCUAGGGAACAGUUGAAAAAUCAAAAGUUUGGGUGUUCAGUUUAGAGAGUAGAGAGAGUCAAAAAUUGAACAGGUCACAGAAUGGGCCUAAAGAAUAGCUAUAAGGGGCAGCUAGGUGACUUACUGGAUUGAGAGCCAGGUCUGGAGAUGGGAGGUCCUGAGUUCAUAUAUGGCCUCAGAUACUUCUUAGCUGUGUGACUCUGGGCAGGUCAUUUAACCCCAAUUGUCUAGCCCUUACCAGUCUUCUUCCCUGGAACCAAUAUUUAGUAUUGAUUCUAAGACAGAGGGUAAAGGUUUAAAAAAGGAUAGCCAGAGUUUCAGGCUGAUACCCCAAAGUUGCCAAGUCAGGCACGCUGUACCAAAAGUUUGUCAAAGGGUGGCCACUUAACAUGCUGGAAGCCUUCUUGAUCUUAUCCCAAUCUCAAAGUGGUGCCAAUGGAACUUUUUGGCUGUCCACCUGUCUGAAAUGGUCAAGGAGUGAAUCUAGAGAGUAGAUACAGGGCCAAGCAUUUAUUCUAAAGCGAAUAUGUCUAGAGAGUUGACAAAAGGCCAGCAACCUGUGCCAAGGGGCUAUAUAAUAAAAUAUCCAGAGAGUAAAUGGAAGAUUUGGGAUUUGUCUCUGGUUGAACAGGUAAACAGCAGCAUCCAAAAAAUAUCAAGAUGUCUAUAUAUUGAUCCUGAAAAGGGAUGAAAAGGAUGAAAGAGAGGAAGGGAGAGAAAGUGAGAGAGAGAAAUAAGAGAAUGAGAGAGAGAAAGAAGACAGGAGAGGAGAGAAAGAGGGAGGGAGAGAGAGACAGAGACCUAUGAGGUUAGGCCAGAGAAUGGAUCCAAAGAGUAGGAAAUUUGUCCAGAGGAACAGACAGAAAGCCAAUAAUCUGGCCAGUAGAUAGGAUCAUAGAUUUAGAAGAGGAAGAAAUAUCAGAGGCAAUCUAGUUUAGUCCCCUCAUUUUACAAGGUGGACACUGAAGCUCAGGGAGAUGAAAUGAUUUGCUCAUGCUCACAGAGGUACCAAGACUCAGAGUUAGAAUCUGAAUUUAGGUCUUCUAAAUACAAACUCAUCUUUCUUUCCACCCCACUGUACUGCUUCUUAGUGACAUUUGGAGGGUAAGUAAAUCAACCACAUCUCACCACUCUCUAACCAGUAUGGGCACUCUGAACCAGUCAGCCUCCAGCCCCUGCCUCAGGGAUGAGCCAGGACCAGGGACUUGCCAUGGGCCCUGCUACCAUCCCAAGCCCUGUGACAGCAGGCCAUUGGACCAGGAUGGAUAAUCUUCAGAUUGAUUUCUUGCCUGGCCGCUCAGGUAGAGAUAAUGAAAUCCACAUGGGAGCUGAUCUUGAAAGUAGAACUGUCCUGACAAUGUUUGGAAGGAAUCAUGGGCUUCAUUCACGUACCACAGUAUGUUGAGUCACUUCCUAGUCGACGUGCCUCUUCUCUGCUUCUGGACACCAGACCUUUGGAAUAAAACUGGAUUCCAGAGUCCAUGUCCCAUAAACAUCUACAUGGAAAUCAUUUAUUCCCAAAUGGAAGUGGCCAUAAGGCACUGCCAUCCUGGCUGAAGGUGGGAAGGGGAUUUCAGCAAGGAAGCCUCACCUCUCUAGAAUCAUCUAAGCUUUGAUGUAGGUGCUUUCUAGCACACUCAUUUUAUGAACAGUAUAUGACUGAGAACUUGUCAUUUUCCCUUAUGCUAACCAUGCUUCUUUCUACCAGAAUGUCAAAAAUAUUGAAAAUAUCUUCUAUUUAACCUCACUUUCAUUUCAAAAAAUAUCUGUUCCUAUUCCAUAACAAGAUAGUAAGUGCUUGAAUUAAGGAAAUAACAAAACUCAACCACACAUAUACUGGGUCUGAGUUCACCUUCCCAAGUUCUGCUGCUCUAGGACCAAAAGAACAGGUGCAUUUUCACAAUUCUCUUCUGGGAUCAAUACCCUUAGCCAUCAUAAUUGCAGUGCAUGCACUUUCAAUUUAUGGUAUUUCCACUCUGGCUUACACUCCUGACCUUCCAGAUUCUCUCUGUCAUGCCAAAGCAACCUUAUCACCCUAGAAGUUCACUCCACCUCAGAGCUCUUCACAUCAGAAGGAAAUUCCACUGCAGAGGUCUUUCUCUGAUUGACUGGUUCCUGCCAGAACCUCCAUUUUGAAGAAAGUGGCCAGGCCAGUCAGGUCUUCAUUACUCCCUAGGCUCCAUUCCUGACUCCCUAGACUUUCUACCAUGCCACAACAAACUCAUCAACCUGGAAGUUCAGUCUGUCCUGACCUUGAACUGAAAAUAGAUCCCACUACUGGGCUCUUCCUCUGAUUGGUUGGUUCCUGCUGGAACCUCUAUUUUGAAGAAAGUGGCCAAGGCAGCCAUGUUUUCAUUCAUCUCUCGGCUUUGCUCCUGACUCGAGACUUUCCACCAUGUCAUAAACAUCUUGUCAACCUCGAAGUUCAGUCUGUCCUGACCUUGAACUGCAAGUAGAUUUUAUCCCAUUGCCAGGCUCUUCCUCCAAUUGGUUGGUUUUUUGCCAGAACCUCCACUUUGAAGAAAAUAUCUAGUCUAUUCUCUUCGUUCCUCUCUAAACUUUGCUCCUGACACUAGAUUUUCCACCAUGCCAUACAAGCCUUGUCAACCUGGAAGUUCAGUCUUUCCUGACCUUGAACUAGAAGAAGAUUUGAUCUCAUUGCCGGGCUCUACCUGUAAUUGGUUGGUUUCUGCUAGAACCACCAUUUUGAAGAAAAUGACCAGACCAGGCAUGUCUUCACUCAUCUCUCAGCUUUGCUCCUGACACUAGAUUUUCCACCAUGCCAUGGAAGUCUUAUCAACUUGGAAGUUCAAUCUAUCCUGACCUUAAAUUGGAAGCAGAUUUUAUUCCACUGCUGGGAUCCUCCUCUGAUUGGUUGGUUUCUGCUAGAACUGCCAUUUUGAAGAAAGUAUCCAGACCAGCCAUGUCUUCAUUCAUCUCUCUAAACUUUGCUCCUGACACUAGAUUUUCCACCAUGUCAUAGAAGCCUUAUCAACCUGGAAGUGCAGUCUGUCCUGAUCUUAAACUGGAAGCAGAUUUGAUCCCAUUGCUGGGCUCUUCCUUUGAUUGGUUGGUUUCUGCUAGAACCACCAUUUUGAAGAAAAUGACCAGACUAGCCAUGUCUUCCCUCAUCUCUCAGCUUUGUUCCUGACUCUAGAUUUUCUAACAUGUCAUGGAAGCCCUGUCAACCUGGAAGUUCAGUCUGUCCUGAUCUUGAACUGGAAGUAGAUUCAAUCCCACCGUUUGGCUGCUGCUCUGAUUGGUUGGUUUCUGCUAGAACUGCCAUUUUGAAGAAAGUAUCCAGACCAGCCAUGUCUUCAUUCAUCUCUCAGCUUUGUUCCUGACACUAGAUUUUCCAGCAUGCCAUACAAGCCUUGUCAACCUGGAAGUUCAGUCUGUCCUGAUCUUGAACUGGAAGCAGAUUCGAUCCCAUUGCUGGGCUCUUCCUCUGAUUGGUUGGUUUCUGCUAGAACAGCCCUUUUGAAGAAAGUUUCCAGGCCAGUCAUGUCUUCAUUCAUCUCUCAGAUUUGCUCCUGAAUCUCUAAACUUUCUGCCAUGCUACAGAAGUUUCAUCAACCUGGAAGUUCAGCCAGUCCCUGCCUUGAACUGAAAAUUGAUCCCACUGCUGGGCUCGUCCUUUGAUUGAUUGAUUCCCACCAGAAAAUCCAUUUUGAAGGAAGUGAACAGGCCAGCCAUGUCUUUAUUCCUCUUUGGGCUCUGCUUCUGAUUCUCUAGACUUUCCACCAUGCUGCAGUAGCUUCAUAGACCUGGAAGUUCAGUAUGUCCUGACCUUGAACUGGAAGUAGAUCUGACCCCAGUGCUGGGCUCUUUCUCUGAUUCAUUGGUUGGUUCCUGACAUAAUCACAUCUUGAAGAAAUGUCUUCAUUUCUCCUUGGGCUCUACUUCUCCCUCUCUGAACUUUUCUCACCAUGGCACAACCUGAGAAUUUACUCUACCCCUAAUUCUGUCACGCUGGAAAUAUACUUCACUCGCAGAGACCUUUCCUCUGAUUGAUUUCUUUCUUCCAGAACCACCAUUUUAAGGACAGCGCUCAGAUCAGCAAUGUCUUCAUUCCUCUCUGAGCUCCCCUCCUGACUCUCUAGACUUUCUACAGCAUGCUAGAAGAACUUCUUCACUCUGGAAGUUCAGUCUGCACUGGCCUCUCACUGGACAUAUACUCUUCCCUUUGGACCCUUCCUCUAUUUGGUCAGUUCCUACAAGAACCUUCAUUUUAAGAAAUGGCAGGCCAAGAACAGCCAUGUCUUCAUUCUUCUCUGGGGCCCACUCCUGACCUUAUAGACUUUCUUCACCAUGCCACAUCGGCCUUCUCACUCUGGGAUUUCACUUUGUCCUACAGCCUCAUCACCCUGGAAGUUCACUCCUCACCUGAUCUCACACUGGAAGUACCCUUUCUCUGAUUGGUUGGCUCCUCUUGGAAUCUCUACUCUCUAGGUUUCACUCCUGACUCUUCAGACUUUCUUCACUAUGCCAUAGCAGAGGUUCACGUUUCCACUAGCUUCUCACCCUAGGAAUAUACUCCACUCUUGGAGGCCCUUUCUUUGAUGGGUCAAUUCCUGUCACAACCUUCAUUUUAAGUAAAUAUCAGCUAUGACUUCAUUCUUUUUUUGAGUUCUAAUCCUAAGUCUUGAGAUUUUUUCUGCCAUGCUACAGCAACCUUCUUGUCCUGGAGGUUCAUUCUGCCCCUAUAUCUAUCUCACCCUGGAAAUUCACUCCAUCCACUAGACCUAGCCUAACUCUCACUCAAUAGAUUUCUAAUACCCUCAUUUGGCCACCUAUAUAGGACCAAUGACUUGCCAUUUUCCCUAAUACUGACCCUGCUUUAAACAUAAUAUCAAAAGCAUUUCCACUGUUUUUUUCCUUUAAUAUGACUAUAAUUUCCAACUGUAUCCCUCCCUAUCCUUUAUAUAGAUAGACCGUAUGUCAUUGAAUGAAACAAAAGCAGAAAAGAUAUUUCAGAAAAGUGAUCCAACUAUAAUCUUUUUCUGAUUGUUUAGGCAAUAUUUCACAACAGAAGUCUUGGUAAUUUGUACUAUCCUCCAGGACCAAGAUGAUUGGUUAUCAAAAUUACAAUGUAUGCAUUUUUACUUUGUUAUGCUUUCUCUCAAUAUUUUUCAAGUUCUAGCAUAUAUUAUUAUCCUUUCUUGAAGUCCAUCCCUCUGCAUUAGUUCAUAUCAGUCUUCCCAUGCCUCCCUCUGUGUCCUUCCUACUUCUGCUUUUAUACAUUGCAGGAAUGAUGAGCUUCAUUCCCCCAAAAAUAGCAUGUUGAAAUUUUCCCCAAUCAAUAUGCCUCUGUGCUAUGUCUAAGCAUCACUCCCCUGGACUAAAACUAGACACCCUCCAGACACAAUGUGACUCCAUUUUCUAUGAAGAGAUAAGGAAUUUUCCCACUGAAAAUUGACCAGAGGCAGAGCUGCCAUGGCUGGAGCUGGGAAGGGAAACUGAAAAGAAAGCUUCAUAUCCUAAAUUAGACAACCUUUAAUCUGGUUGUUUUCAAGCACUCACAUAAGGCCAGGAGCAUAUGACAGAUGGCCUGUCAUUUUCCCUACUGUGGCCCUGCUAAAUGAUAUCAUAAUAUCAAAACAUUUCUAAUAUUUUUUCUUUUGAGAUUACCUUAAUUUCCAAAUAUAUCCCUUCUGCUCUUGUCCAAAGAUAGCCACAAUUUAUAUCAAAGAUUGAAAUAAGAAAAGCAGGAGGAGCAUUCUGAAAUAAAACUAACCUAUACAUGAGAAGAGUCUCAGAAUUUUGGCUCUAUUCCAUUCCAAAAGCCUUGGACCUCUGUAACUAAACAACGCAAGUGUAUUCAAAUUCUGACCCAGCCAGGUUCUAGCACCCAAAGUUGACCAACAGCGUAAAGCCAAGGAUGUGUCAUUUUCCAUAAUGAUGACCAUGCAUCUUUAUAAGAUAAUCUUGACAUGCUUCUAAUUUCUGUUGUUUUGAUAUAAUUUUCAUUACCAAAUAGACCUCUCCUGAUCCCCUCACUAGAUGGAGAGCUAGAACUUGUAUCAAAGAAGGAAAAAAGUGAUUCAUAAAAAGCACACAAAUCAUUUUCCAAAAACUAUGAGUGACAGUUUAGGCCAGAGGUGUCAGAUGGGCAGUCUUUCGGCCGUUUGUGGCCCACAACACUCCUAAAUGUAGUUCAAACUAUCUCAAAAUGUAAUUGGGAUAUAGUUAACAAAAUAAAUAAAAAUACAAUAAAAUAGGUAAUAUUACAUUUUAAAAGUAGGUCAAUAUAUCAUCUUCAGGGAUGCUUAUGAAUAGUUUAGUGGUCCCCAUUUCCAUUUGAGUUUGACAUCAAUGGUUAGAUAUGUUCCACACCUAAUAUUGUCGAGCUCUAUAGACAACCCAAAGCAGGGACAUUUUAUACAUUAAUUAUACUGCUUUGUUUUGCCAAAAUUCCAAAAAUAUGUUUAAUGUCCUUUUACAUCACUCAGUUCUAUACAUUUCCUUUUCCAAUCCACAUGCACAAAGCCAUGCAUUAUGUCAAGGAAUGAAAAAAUGCAGACAGAAAAGCAAUUCAUCACAACUUGAUCACAAAUAAGCUCUGUUUGAACAUUUAGGAAAUAUUCUACAGCAAACCAAAGAUGGAUCCUUCUUUCUGCUUUCAUCUUGAAAUAAGAAUUUUGAUCAUUAUUUUUUUAUUCCAUUUAGUUUUACUUUUAAGUGCUUCCCUUUGAUUUUUGAAGUCAUUAAAUACACAGUUUGCCUUUCUUGUUGAUUAUUUCUCUGUCCUAAUUAAUUUCAAUCCAUUUCCCCCAAUAAUCCUUCCUUACAUUGCAGGAGUUAUGUGUUGCUUUGUGUAUCACAGUAUGUUAAAUUCCCCCCAACCAAUAUGCCUUCUCCUUGCUCUUUGACAGUUGUCCCCUGGAUGAAACUAUCAUGUGUAGUGAAUAUAGGUCUUAUGUGGAGAUAAAGGCAGGUCCUAAAUAGAAGUAGGAAGAGGAAUUCAGGCAAAAAAUAACCCUUCUCAAACAUUUUCUACAUUUGGAACAAGCUCUAUUCUAGCAAACACAGUUGGCCAAUAACAACAACAGGGACAGGUGGUUUGUUCAGGAUUUGGCUUAGGGAUGGCCUUUUCUUAACUUUCAUUUUGUUUCCCAUUUCUAAUAUAUUUUAUGUUAAUUGUACCAACAUGUGCAAAUAACUCCAUUCAUCUUUCCCUAGCCAGAGAUUCAGAUGUGGUAUCCAAGAAUGAGAAAGGAAUUACAUUGUUAACCCAUUAAUCUGGUGUAUGUAAGCCAAUUUAAAUUUUCAUUCAUAUUUCACGCACAGUUUCCCAGAACUCAAAAGAUAAUGAAAGGUGGUCCACCAAUGACCCAGUUUUGUUAGACUAGAAAGUCAAUCAAUCAUACUACCAACAUCCAUUGAUUUGAAAGCACAUUCAAUUAGAAACAUAUCUUCUAAAAUCUUGUAAUUUGAGAUGAAAAUUUUUGAUCCAAGUGAAACUAGAAAUGCAAAAAUAGAAAAAAAGCCUUAAACCAAACUCUACCUCCCCAUAGUUUUCUGAGUAUUUUGGCAUUAUUCAGUAAAAAAAAUUCUCCACCAUUGGAUACCCUACCAAAGAAGUUGAAUUCUACUAACUACUAUAAUCCAGAAUAAAAUUCUUGAUUAUUAUUAUUCAGAUUAAAUUAAUUAAAAUUUUUGAUUAUUGCUCUAAAUAAAAUAAUCUUAUGGUAUUUAUUUUCAACUCUCCAUUCUUUUUCACCAAUUAUAAAUUAACCACAUACAGUAUUUUACUUUUUUCAAUAUUUUACUCUUUUACUUAAAAUUGCUGUAUAUCAUUUUUUUAAGUAUUAUAAUUCUUUUCUUUAUCCUUCUCACCGAGCUUUCUGAUAUUUCAUUGGCUAUGAGUUGCACUGAUGUACCACAUUAUCAGGAAUCUCUCUCAAAUCUAAGAACUUUCAAAACUGUUCCCAAAAUGGUUUCAAGAAAUCAACAACUUGAUUUCAGUCAUCCAAUAUCUCUAAUCAUCCUUAGAAGUCUAUUCUUUUAUGUAGGAGAAGUAAUGCAUUUAAUAACUUGACCAGUGGAUGCUGAAGCACCAUUAAAAAGAAAAUCAUUUUAUCUACUUCUUCUGCAACGAAUUCAUGCAUAAUAUCAGACAAACUAAAAGUCUCAGUGACCCAGCCCAUACAUGGUGGUCAAAGAUUCCAUAGCAUGUAUAGCUGUGAGUCCAGGUAGCUGACUAGGAAUUGGAGAGUAAUUCAUGCAAAGAGCCUCAGUUUUCAAAAAUUCCUUCCCUUCUGAAAAGUCUGUAUUCUAGAACACAGAAUAACUGCAAUAGACAAGUGAUUUUGCUUAGGGAUGACCCUACCCUUUCUUAACUUUAUUUGCUCCCUAAUUCUAAUGUAUUUUAUGUGAAUUUUGCCGUCAUUUGUAUAUCUCUUCAUCUUUGCCUAUCCAGAGGGCUGAAUAAGGUGUCCAAGAAUGAAAAACAAAUCAUGAAAUAUUAUUCCAGAAAAUCAGAUACAUAUAAUACGAGACUGAUAUUUUCAUUCUUACUGAAUAUACAAUGUUUGGGGGCUGAAGAGACAAUGAAAGAAGGGGGUAUUUUAUCCAAUAAUGAACCUCUUUCAUUUUAGAGAAUGGCAACUAAACUAUCAAAAUCCAGUCAUUGAAAACAUAUUCAAUUAGAAACACAUCUUUUGCCAUCUUGUAAUCUAUGACCAGAAUUUUGGAUUAAAAUGAAAUUAAAAUGCCUACCUCCUCUCCCCCAAAAUCAUUCAGACAAUCUCACCCUCAGCAUAACUUUAGAUGAGCUUUUUGCAGUUAUUCAUCAGCUAAUAUCCAGAAUUCUAUAAAUUAGCAAAGUAUUAACAUUCAUUUAUUGCAUAUGAUCCUUGUGUAGCAUGUUUAUGGCAAUAAAUUCUAGCAUGGUUUUAUUGUUUAAAUGACAUAUUAAUUUUAUAAAAAGUUUUUUUUUCCUUUAAGAACAUUUGCAUCCAUUUUUUUCAGCCUGUUUAUUCCUCUCCAUCACACUUACUAAACUGAUAUUUCUUUGGUUACUAGUUAUAUUUCCAUGUCAAACUAUCAAGAGUGAUCCUCAAAUCCAAGUGUUUCCAACACUACUUUUCCAAAAUGGGUUCAAGAAAUCUAUAAGCUGAUUUUAGUCUUUUCAGGCCCAUCUCUAUCCUUCCAAAGCAUAUUCUCUUAUAAUAGAGAAGUAUAAUAACAUACCAUAAAAUACUAAGUGACUCUCAAGUCCUCAAUCUGAUUUCCCUGCUCUGUUGCUACUCUGGAUUCAUAGAAAAUCUUUGGCACAAUACAAUGUGUCAGUUAAUACAGGCAAUAUAGAGAAAUAAAUGACACCUCGCUACCCAGAGCUGUGAGGCCAGGAAGUUUUGGAUGGAAUUAGGAUGAGGAAUUCAGGGAAAAACUUUCAGUUCUCCCAAACUACCCACAUUUAGAACAAAUUCAUUCUACCAAACACAAUUGGGUAAUAAUUUCACACUGGGAUCAUUUCAUUUAGACUAGAAUUUACCCAGUCUUGCCUUCCUAUUUCGUGCACAUUUUCCAUUAAUUGUAAUUUGGUAUUCCUUUGCAAAUAUCUCUAUUUAUCUUUCCUUACUCAGAGGGUCAGAUAUGGUAUCUAAGAAUGAAAAAUAUAUUAUGGAAUAUUGUUAUGAAAAGUCAGCCAUAUAUAAUCUGUAACUGACAUUUUUACUCUUACUACAUAUGCAAAGUUCCAGAGCUGAAUAAACAAUGAAAGGUAGGGCACUUUAUCCACUAAUACAAUUCUUUUAUUCUUAGCGAAUGCCCACUUAGCUAUCAAUAUACAAUAAUUCAAAAACAUAUUUAAUUCCAAAUAUCUCCUUUGAUAUCUUGUACUCGGAGACCAAAAUUUCAGAUAAAAAGUCAAAUGUAAAUGCUUUCUCACAAAGCCUUUGGACCAUCUUAACCUCAAGAAAAAUCUAGUUGAGGCUUUUGGCACUAUUCAACAAAAAACAUCCUAGAAAUCUAUAAACUAACAAAGCAGAUAGGUGAAUUUGGCCUAUGUACUCAUGCCUGAGAUUACGUUCUUUUAUGGCAAGGGAUUUGACCUGUCCAUUUUAUAGUUCAUCAGUUAUGUGUUAAUUUAAUAAUGUUUUCCUCUUUUUGUAAACAUUCCUUUAUAUUAAUUUAUUUCAGUCUAUGAUUUCCUCUGUCAUUCCCAAUAUGCACGCUAAUAUUCAUUCAUUAUUGGUUACAAAUUCAUACAACAGAACACAUGUGAUACCCAGUGGAAUUGCGCGUGGGCUAUGGGAGAGGUGGUGGGACGGAGGGAAGGGAAGAAAAGAAAAUGAUCUUUGUUUCCAAUGAAUAAUGUUUGGAAAUGACCAAAUAAAAAUUAAAAAAAAAGUGGAGCAAAAAAAAUCAUACAACACUAUCAGGAGAAAACUUGAAAUGCAAGUGCUUUCAACAUACACAUACUUUUUACAAAACAAAGUAAAGAAAACCAUAAUUUGAUUUUAAUCUUCAAAGGCCUCUUUCCAUCUUUGAAAGGAUUCUCUCCAAUACUAGAAAAAAGAUGAGUUUAAUAUCCUACUUUAGAAGGAUGAAGCACUCUCAAAUCCAAGAGCUUCCUGACUCUUUUGCCACCCUGGGCUCAGACAAAAGUUUAUGUAUACUAUCAUGAUCCUGGGUGCAUAAGCCAUACAUGGAGGUAAAAGGUUAUCCAUUACAUUGAACCGAGAGACCCCGCAGCAAUUCAUGUAAAGAAUUUCAGUUCGCCAUUACUACCUACAUUGGAAACACUUUCUAGCAAAAACCCAACUGGCCAAUAGCUGGACUUGGAGGACAUUUCAUUUUGCCUAGAGCUGACCCAUUCCUUAUUUCCUUUUUCCUCUACAUUUUUCACCUAUUCAUUCAAUUUUUGCCUAUCCAAAGACCCAGGCACAAUAUUUGAAACUGGAAAAGCACUUUAUUAAAUGCUGAUAAAGAAUGCUGGGAUGCUUCCAGUUCCACUCACAUUCCAUAGGCAAUGUUGUAGAGCUGAAUAGUUAACAAGAAAUAUGUGAUUUUUCCACUAAUAUCUGGAAUAUGAAUAUAUAUUCAUUUGAAAGCAAAUUUAAUUCCAAGCAUAUCCCUUAUCAUCUUGAAAUCUGGAACCAAAAUGUCAAAUCACAAUGAAACAUCAUAGGCAAUAAAUAACUAAAUAAAUUAAGAAAUUAAAUAAGCCAAUAACCUAUCUUACCUUCACUACAGUUUUGGUUGAUGGUUUGAUCAGGACCCAACAAGCAAAGAAAUAACACUUUGAGACCUAAGAAAUCUUGUACUUUCCCUCAAAAAACUCCCCUCAAGGUAAACAAACUUACUCAGCAUAACUUUAAGGCAUUCAAAUUUCAUUUUUCUUUUAAAAAUAUAAUUUUUAUUUAAUUUGGCACAAUAUAUUCCUUAAUUUCUGAAUAAUCUUUUAAUUUAAUUUGUUUAGUCGUCUAAUGGCCUGAGUCUUCCUCCUCAGUAUGCUUUCUGAUACUUCACUGUUUAAUGUUUGCCUUGAGAUACCCCACUAUAAAGAAGAACCCACAAAUUCAAGUGUUUCAAACACUAAUUUCUCCAACUUAGCUUUAACAAAUGUAUAAAUAGAUUCCAGUCUCCAAAGGUAUCUUGCCAUCCUUCAAAGCAUACUCUGUCACAUAGGACAAGCAAGGUAUUUGAUGCGGUACCACAGUGCUCUAAGCCACUCUCAAAUCCAAGAGCUUCCAUCCUUGGUUGCUGUACUGGGCUUAUGUAAUACUGACGGUACAGCAAUGGGUCCCAGUGACCACAGGCCAUACACAUAUGGAGGCAAAUGGUUCCUCAUUAUGGAGGGUUGGGAGGCCAGGCAGCCCUGACUGGAAGUGUGAAGAGGAACGCAGGAAAAGAGUCACAGGUUUCCAAAUCAACCUCCUGCAAGAAAAAAUCCCAGCAAAACCAAUUGGCCAGGAGCUCCACACUGGAGACACUGCAUUUUGCCUACACGUGACCUAUUUUGGAUUUCUUUUUUCCUCCAUUAUUCCUCACUUAUUUCAUCUUCAUCUGACCCAUUUACAUACAUCUUCAUUCAUCAUCUUUGUCCAUUCAAAAGGCCAGCUAUGAUAUCCAAGAAUGAAAACGAUUGUCCAGAAAUACUGGUAUGUAUCAGUAUUAUCUGGGGAUCACCAUUUUCAUUCUUUCUAUGGAACCUCUAUCACAUUACUGAAUAGACAAUGAAAGAUGGGCUAGUAUAUACACUAACGAACCUCAUUCCUUUAGAGUGAAUAUCAGCCCAAGCACCAAUGUCCAGUCAUUUGAAAACGCAAUCAAAUCCAAACGUGUCCUCUGAUAUCUUGUAAACUGAGAUUCAGAUUUGGAUGAACAUGAAAUGGAAACACCCCCACCACAAGCAUUCAGACAACCUCACUCUCCUCAUUGUUUCAUCUAAGCUUCUUGAAAAAUUUUCAACCAUUCAUGCUCUAGAACUCUUAAAAAAUCAGGAAAGCAAGUGAAUUUCAUCUACUUUUAUCCUUCUUGGAUAACAUGUUGCUUUAAAUUCCAUGUCUACAUUUUUAUUUAUCAACUAUAUAUUAAUUUUACAAAACAUUUUUAUACAUUUUUUAAAAACUGCUUCAUAUGAAUUAAUUUCUGACACUUCAUUCUCAAUAUCAUUCUCAGCUCUCAUCUCAGUUCUCAAUACUCAAUCAUUCUCAAUAUCUCAUAUAACAUUUCAUCUGUCAUUGCUUGAAAUUCCAUACCCCACUUCCAGGAUUCAUCUUCAAAUGCAAGUGCAUCCAAUACUCUUCCCCAAACAGCUGUAGGCAAAAUCUAUAAGUUGAUUUCAGUCCUCCAAGGCCUAUCCCCAUCCCUCAAAGUAUCCUCUCUUGUACUGGAGGAUUGAUGCCGUUUAAUAACUUCCCUUUAGAUACUGAAGCUCUCUCAAAUCCAAGAGCUUCCUGCCUCUUUUGCCACCCUGGACUCAAGCAAAAUCUUCCACACACCAUUAUGUUCUAGUAUUCACAAGUCACAUAUGGAGGUAAAAGAUUCUCCAUCACAUAGAGUUGAGAGUCCCAGCAGCCCCGGUGAGAAACGGGAAGAAUUCACGUAAACAAUUUCAGUUCACCAUUCUACCUCCAGAGAGAAUAAAUUCUUUCAAGAAAACUCAAGUUACCAAGAGUUGCCCACUGAGGAUAUUCAUUUUGUCUAAAGAUGAGCCAUUCCUGAAUUUCUUUUUCCUCUACAUUUCUCACCUAGUUGAUUGUAAUUUGGCCUUCCUUUUAAAAUAUUCCCCUCAUUUUUGCUUAUCCAGAAAGCUAGACAUGAUAUCGGAUAAGGAUAUUAUUAAGGAAGACAGAUUUCAUGUAAGCUAACUGCCAGUUUCUUCCCUAACCCAUAGGCAAUGCCCCAGACCUGAAUAGCCAAGAAAAAGAGUGACAUUUAGUUCACUAAUGACUCCUGUUCUUAACACUGAGUUGAAUUUUAUAAAAUUUGAGUAAUAUUAUUUACUUAUUUGAAAUCAUAUUCUAGUUCCAAACAUUAUCUUCAUUAUCUUAUAAUUUGAGACCAAAGGAAGUCUAAAUGAAACUUUGUAUGUAACAAAUAAAUAAGCAAAUUAAAAAGGUGGGGGAAAGCCAUUUUCCUAUCCUGUCUUCUCCACUAUUUUCUGAUAAUCUGAUCUUGAUUCAACAACAAAGAAAUAACACUUUAUAAACCAAGAAAGUUUGUACAUUCCUUCCCCAAAUUCUCUUCAAGGUUAAUAGACUUACUCAGCAUAAUUUUAUGUCAUUAUCAUUCUUUGUUUUAAGAUACAAAAAUGCCAUUUUAUUUUACAUAAUCCUUCUCAAUUUAUGAAAAAUCUUUUCAUUCAAUUUCUUCAGUCCUCUGAUUCCUCUCUUCUUCCUCUGUAAUCUUUCUGCAACUUCAUCAGUGUUUGCCUUGAGAUACAAUACUGUCAAGAGUCACUCUCAAAUCAUAUGCUCCAGCAUUCAUUUUUGCAUUGAAUAGAGUUCAAGAAAUGUGUAAGUUGAUCUGAGGAUUUCAAGAUGUCUUGCUGUACUUAUGUAGGACAAGCAAGGUAUUUGAUGCGGUACCACAGUGCUCUAAGCCACUCUCAAAUCCAAGAGCUUCCAUCCUUGGUUGCUGUACUGGGCUUAUGUAAUACUGACGGUACAGCAAUGGGUCCCAGUGACCACAGGCCAUACACAUAUGGAGGCAAAUGGUUCCUCAUUAUGGAGGGUUGGGAGGCCAGGCAGCCCUGACUGGAAGUGUGAAGAGGAACGCAGGAAAAGAGUCACAGGUUUCCAAAUCAACCUCCUGCAAGAAAAAAUCCCAGCAAAACCAAUUGGCCAGGAGCUCCACACUGGAGACACUGCAUUUUGCCUACACGUGACCUAUUUUGGAUUUCUUUUUUCCUCCAUUAUUCCUCACUUAUUUCAUCUUCAUCUGACCCAUUUACAUACAUCUUCAUUCAUCAUCUUUGUCCAUUCAAAAGGCCAGCUAUGAUAUCCAAGAAUGAAAACGAUUGUCCAGAAAUACUGGUAUGUAUCAGUAUUAUCUGGGGAUCACCAUUUUCAUUCUUUCUAUGGAACCUCUAUCACAUUACUGAAUAGACAAUGAAAGAUGGGCUAGUAUAUACACUAACGAACCUCAUUCCUUUAGAGUGAAUAUCAGCCCAAGCACCAAUGUCCAGUCAUUUGAAAACGCAAUCAAAUCCAAACGUGUCCUCUGAUAUCUUGUAAACUGAGAUUCAGAUUUGGAUGAACAUGAAAUGGAAACACCCCCACCACAAGCAUUCAGACAACCUCACUCUCCUCAUUGUUUCAUCUAAGCUUCUUGAAAAAUUUUCAACCAUUCAUGCUCUAGAACUCUUAAAAAAUCAGGAAAGCAAGUGAAUUUCAUCUACUUUUAUCCUUCUUGGAUAACAUGUUGCUUUAAAUUCCAUGUCUACAUUUUUAUUUAUCAACUAUAUAUUAAUUUUACAAAACAUUUUUAUACAUUUUUUAAAAACUGCUUCAUAUGAAUUAAUUUCUGACACUUCAUUCUCAAUAUCAUUCUCAGCUCUCAUCUCAGUUCUCAAUACUCAAUCAUUCUCAAUAUCUCAUAUAACAUUUCAUCUGUCAUUGCUUGAAAUUCCAUACCCCACUUCCAGGAUUCAUCUUCAAAUGCAAGUGCAUCCAAUACUCUUCCCCAAACAGCUGUAGGCAAAAUCUAUAAGUUGAUUUCAGUCCUCCAAGGCCUAUCCCCAUCCCUCAAAGUAUCCUCUCUUGUACUGGAGGAUUGAUGCCGUUUAAUAACUUCCCUUUAGAUACUGAAGCUCUCUCAAAUCCAAGAGCUUCCUGCCUCUUUUGCCACCUAGUUGAUUGUAAUUUGGCUUUCCUUUUAAAAUAUUCCCCUCAUUUUUGCUUAUCCAGAAAGCUAGACAUGAUAUCUGAUAAGGAUAUUAUUAAGGAAGACAGAUUUCAUGUAAGCUAACUGCCAGUUUCUUCCCUAACCCAUAGGCAAUGUCCCAGACCUGAAUAGCCAAGAAAAAGAGUGACAUUUAGUUCACUAAUGAUGCCCUUUCUUAAUAAUAAAACCCAAAGUAGACCACAAAUAUCCAUUUAUUUGAAAUCAAAUUACAUUCCAAAUAUAUCCUUUGCCAUAUUUAAAUCUGAGUCCAAAAUGUGAAAUAUAAGUGAAAUUUCAUUGUCAAUAAAUGAACAAAUGAGCAAAGAAAGAAAAAAGCCAUUGGCCUAUCCUGUCUCCCUCACUAUUUUAGCUGAUGAUUUGGUCAUGAUCCAACAGUCAAAGAAAUACCACUUUAUAACCUAAGAAAGCUUCCUUUCCAUUCCUUCACAAAGCUCUCCUCAAGGUGAAGAAACUUACUCAGCAUAAUUACACUGAAAUUCCUUUCUUUGUUUUAAAAUAGAUUUAUCAAUUGAUUUUUUUGUCAACUGAUUUUACAUAAUCUUUCCCUCAAUUUCUGUUUUCUUUAAUAUCAGUUUAUUUUAGUCCUUAUACUGGAGACAUUGAAUUUCGUCUGCAGAUGACCCAUUUUGCAUUUCUUAUUUGCUCUAUGUUUCUCACUUAUUUAAUUUUAAUUUGGCCCUCAUUUUCAUGAAUCUUUGCUAAUGUAAAAAAAUAGAUAUGGUAUCCAAGAAUGAAAAAGAAUUUCUAGAAAUACUUUUUGAGAAAAUGUGGCAUGUAUCAUCUUCUAGGACAGAUAUUUCCAUUACUAUGGAUGCUGGGUCCCACAGCUGAAGAGACAAUGAAAGACUGUACUAGUGAGCCUCUUUCUUUCAUAGAGGAUGUCAUCAAAAAUACCAAUAUCAAGUCAUUUGAAAAUGCCUUUGAUUCCAACAAUAUCCAUGGAUAUCUUGAAAUAUGAAACGCAAGUGUGGAUGAAAAUGAAAUGAAAAUAAAUGCUUCCCUACAAAAAUAUUCAGACAAUCUCAUUCUACUCACAGUUUGAGCUGAGAUUUUAUCAAUUUUACAGCUUCUUAGGUCCCAGAACUCUAAAAACUGGGAAAUCAGGUGAAUUCCAUCUACUUUAACAUUUCUUGGAUAACAUCCUUGUUGAGUAUAUUAUUUUAUGUUUUAAAUCAUACAUUAAUUUUAUAAAGCAUUUUCUUCCUUUUAAAAAAUAUUGCUUCAUAGAAAUGUAUUUGUGCUUCUCCGUGCCUCUCCAUCAUUCUCAACAUCUGAUAUUUCAUUCACUGAAAUUUCAUACCAUACUCUUAGGAUUCACCUUUAAAUGCAAGUGCUUCUAAAAAUCUUUUUUUCCAAAACAGCUUUAGGCAAUCCACAAGUUGAUGAGGCCUCCUCCAUCCUUAAAAAGAUUUUCUCUAAUUCUAGAAAAGUGAGGUGUUUAAUUUCAAACCAUAGGAUUUUGAGGCACUCUCAAAUAGAAGAGGUUCCUAACUCCUUCUCCACCAAAUCUUAGGCACACUACCAAGUCCCAGGGUACACAAGCCAUGUAUAUAAAUAAAAGAUUUUCCAUUAUAUAGAGCUGGGAGGCCACAAAGCCCUAGGUAGGAUUGGGAAAAUGAAUUCAUGUAAUGAAUUUCUGUUCCCUAUUAUUAUCUACAUUCAGAACAAAGUCUUUCUUGCAAAUGCAAAUGUCUAAGAACUGCACACUGGGGAUAUUUUAUUUUGCCUACAGAUGACCCUUUCUUGAUUUCCUUUUUCCUCCAUGUUUCUCACCUAUUUGAUUUGAAUUUGGCCUUCUUGUUCAAAUAUCUCCUUCCUUUUUUGCCUAUCCAGAGAGCCAGGAAUGAUUUCUAAAAAUGAAAAAGCAUUUUAUUAAAUGUGUAUAAGGAAAUUUAUUAACAUGUUCUGUGACACGGCCAGUUGCAUUAAUAUUCCAUAGGCCAUGUCCCAGAGCUGAAUAGCCAAUAAAAAUAUGGCCUUUAGUCAUCCAAUGAUGCCCUUUCUUAAUAAUAGAAUGUAAGCCAAACAAUGAAUAUCCAUUUAUUUGAAAUAAAAUUGAAAUUCUACACAUUCCUUUGCCAUCUUGUAAUUGGAGACAAAAAGAAGUCUAAAUGAAACUUUAUAUGUUAAGUAAAUAAAUAAGCAAAGAAAAGGAGUGGAGAGCCUUUAGCCUAUCUUCCCUUUCCCGCUAUUUUGUCUGAUAUUUGAUCAUGGUCCAACAACCAAAGAAAUAACAUUUUAUAAACCAAGAAAGUACUUUCCUUCACAAAACUCUAAAAGUUAAAACACAUCAUUUUAUGUCAUUAACAUUCUUUGUUUUAAGAUACAAAUGCCAUUUUAUUUUACAUAAUCCUUCUCAAUUUAUGAAAAAUCUUUUCAUUCAAUUUCUUCAGUCCUCUGAUUCCUCUCUUCUUCCUCUGUAAUCUUUCUGGAACUUCAUCAAUGUUUGCCUUGAGAUACCAUACUGUCAAGAGUCACUCUCAAAUCAUAUGCUCCAGCAUUCAUUUUUGCAUUGAAUAGAGUUCAAGAAAUGUGUAAGUUGAUCUGAGGAUUUCAAGAUGUCUUGCUGUACUUAUAGGAAAAGCAAGGUAUUUAAUGCGGUACCACAGUGCUCUAAGCCACUCUCAAAUCCAAGAGCUUCCAUCCUUGGUUGCUGUACUGGGCUUAUGUAAUAUUGAUGGCACAGCAAUGGGUUCCAGUGACCACAGGCCAUACAUAUAUGGAGGGAAAUGGUUCCUCAUUAUGGAGGGUUGGGAGGAAGAGUCUGAGUAAUUCACGUAUCUUCUAUUUACCUAAUUUGCUCCGCUGUAAAAUGGGGAUAAUAGUACCACCUAUUUUCCAGGGUUAUUGUGAGGAUCCAGUAAGGUAACAUAUACACAAAAAGCACAAUGCCCAGCACAUAGUGAGUACCAUUUAAAUGUCAUCAUUAUUUUUUUCUGAGCAUUCCUUGCUAAGCUUAUCUCAUUCGUCCCAUGCUUCUCUCCAUCCUUCACAGCAUACUCUCCUAUACUUCAUGUGUGAUGGGUUUCAUCCAAAUACUGAUGCUUCCCCCUUCUUUCCCAAUAUUGUCUUUAUGCUCCAAAUUUUGACAAAUUACAAGUGACAGUACUAACAUGUGACAGUAGCUGAUACAUAGAGAUAACAAAUUCACCCUUGCAAAUAGCCCAAAGUAAGCGCUCCACUGACUGGAGGUAGGGAGAAGAGUUCAGAAAAGUAGAUUCCAUUCUCGAAAACAACUUAAAAUAUGACCAACUGCCUUUCUAACAUUUACUGUUAGGCAACAGUUGUUCAGUAGAGACGCCUUAUUUUUCCUAUAGAUGAUCCCAUUUACUAAUAUCAUAACAUCUAAAUAGUUGUAAUCUUUUUAAUUUUAAUUUCCUUUUAAUUUUCAAAUUACUUUUAGCCACUUGUUUUACUAAUUAGAAAGUCAUCACUUGUACCAAAAAAAAAUUUUAAAGCAGCUUAAAGAUAAUUCCAAAAUUAGAAAUCACCUAUGCAUAAGACUCUGAAAAAUAUAAAAAAUAUUCAGCAUGCCAGAGCUAUAUAAACAACAAAAGCACUGACAUUUUAUCCACAGAUAACUUUGUUUUGUGGGACCAUAUUAUUUUUGUAUUUUAAUAUUUCCUUAGAAAGAGUCCUGAGCUGAGGUUUAAUGGUUAGGGCUGGGAAGACAAAUUCAUGAAAUUAACCUCACUUCUUGAUAACCAGCUAAACCAAGUUGUUUUCCUUCACACAUGGCAAAGAACUGAGUCCUCUGGCUGUAUCAUCUUUCAUAGAAUGAGCAUCAUUCUUGAAAGAAUAUUUGAUUGAUAUAUUUGAUUUUUGAUACAAUGAUUUGAUAUUUGAUUCUUGAUAUAAUAAUUAACUACAUUUUCAAAAAUAAUAGUCUUCAUUUCACUAGGUAGACAACAGACUUUAUAUCACGGAAUGAAAAAAGAAAUGCACUGAAUGCACUUCAACAAAUUCAACUAACAUGAGCUCUGAUAGAUGGUUUCAGAAUGAUACCACACCCAGUGUUCCAGAGCGCUAUUGACUACCAGCUAGGACGUGCUACCCACUGAUGGUCUUGUUUCAUUACAACAGGAGAUCAACAUUAUUUCUAGCAUCCAUUUUUUGAAAUCAUUUUCAUUUAUACACAUAUCCUUCAUCAUCCAGUUCCCAGGAUUCCACACCCAAUGUCCCAGAGCUCUAUAGACAAAUCACAAACUUUUUCCCAAAACCUGACUGAAUUUAUUCCAGAAUGCCAGAAAUUCUACUAAUAUCCUUUGUUUCAGCAUCACCUUCUGAUGCAAACAUAUCCUACUCCAUCCUUCACUAAUCCCAGGACCAGAACUUCUAUUCCUCCCUCCCCCCCCAAAAAAAACAACCAAAAAAUGCAGUAAACUCACUUCUAAAAAAUCAUCUACACACAAGUGUGAUGGACAGCUUCAGAAAGAGCCUACACCCAGUACUCCAGAGCUCUAUAGACAUGAGCAUGCUACCCACUGAUGGUCUUGUUUCAUUACAACAGGAGAUCAACAUUAUUUCUAGCAUCUAUUCUUUUGAAAUCAUUUUCAUUUAUACACAUAUCCUUCAUCAUCCAGUUCCUAGGAUUCCACACCCAAUGUCCCAGAGCUCUAUAGACAAAUCACAAACAUUUUCCCAAAACCUGACUGAAUUUAUUCCAGAAUGCCAGAAAUUCUACUAAUAUCCUUUGUUUCAGCAUCACCUUCUGAUGCAAACAUAUCCUACUCCAUCCUUCACUAAUCCCAGGACCAGAACUUCUAUUCCUCCCUCCCCCCCCCAAAAAAAACAACCAAAAAAUGCAGUAAACUCACUUCCAAAAAAUCAUCUACACACAAGUGUGAUGGACAGCUUCAGAAAGAGCCUACACCCAGUACUCCAGAGCUCUAUAGACAUGAGCAUGCUACCCACUGAUGACCUUGUUUUAUUAUAACAGGAGAUCAACAUUAUUUCUAGAAUCCAUUCUUUUGAAAUAAUUUUCAUUUAUACACAUAUCCUUUAUCAUCCAGUUCCCAGGAUUCCACACCCAAUGUCCCAGAGCUCUAUAGACAAAUCACAAACAUUUUCCCAAAACCUGACCAAAUUUCUUUAUUUCAGAAUGCAGAAAUUCUACGAAUAUCCUUUGUUUCAGCAUCAUCUUCUGAUACAAACAAGUUCAUCUCCAUCCUUCACUAACCACAGGCCCAGAACUUGUAUCAAAGAAACAAAAAAGAAAUGCAAAAAACUCACUUCCAAAAAAAUCAUCUACACAUGAGUGUGAUGGACAGCUUCAGAAAGAUGCCACACCCAGUAUUCCAGAGCUCUAUAAACAGCCAGAUAGACAUGUUACCCACUGAUGGCCUUGUUUCAUUAUAACAGGAGUUCAACAUUAUUUCUAGCAUCCAUUCUUUUGAAAUCAUCUUCUGCAUCAUCCAGUUCCCAGGAUUCCACACUCAAUGACCCAGAGCUCUAUAGACAAAUCACAUUUUCCCAAAACCUGAUUGAAUUUAUUCCAGUAUGCCAGAAAUUCUACUAAUAUCCUUUGUUUCAGCAUCAUCUUCUGAUACUAACAUAUCCUACUCCAUCCUUCACUAAUCACAGGACCAGAACUUGUAUCAAAGAAACAAAACAGAAAUGCAGUAAAUUUAUUUCCCAAAAGUCACCUAUACAUGAGUGUGAUGGACAGCUUCAGAAAGAUGCCACACCCAGUGAUCCAGAGCUCUAUAGACAGCCAGAUAGGACAUGCUACCCAUUGAUGGCCUUGUUUCAUUAUAACAGGUCAACAUUAUUUCUAGCAUCUGUUCUUUUGAAAUCAUUUUCAUUUACACAUAUAUCCUUCAUCAUCCAGUUUCCAAGAUUCCACACCCAAUGUCCCAGAGCUCUAUAGACAAGUCACAGACAUUUUCCCAAAACCUGAUCAAAUUUCUCUAUUCCAGAAUGCAGAAAUUCUACUAAUAUCCUUUGUUUCAGUAUCAUCUUCUGAUACAAACAUAUCCCACUCCAUCCUUCAGCAAUCACAGGAACAGAACUUCUAUUAAAAAAAAGAAAUGCAGCAAACUCACUUGCAAAAAAUCACCUACACAUGAGUGUGAUGGACAGCUUCAGAAAGAGGCUACACCCAGUAUUCCAGAACUCACAGCUAGAGCAUGCUACCCACUGAUGGCCUUGCAACAUUAUUUCUAGAAUCCAUUCUUUUGAAAUCAUCUUUAUUUACAUAUAUAUCCAUCAUCAUCCAGUUCCCAGGAUUCUACACCCAAUGUCCCAGAGCUCUAUAGAAAAAUCACAGACAUUUCCCCAAAACCUGACCAAAUUUCUUUAUUCCAGAAAUUCUACUAAUAUUCUUUGUUUCAGCGUCAUCUUCUGAUUGUAAGACUAAAAAUGAAUACUCCAAAUAUUUAAAUUUAUAGGAUUUAAUAACAACAGGGUGAGAGAGAAAGGGAUUCCUUCAGCCAAGUGAGCAGAGCAAAGAGCCAGAGCCCUAGAAGUCUGCCACGCUUGAGCCAAAGAAAAAAAGCCCCUGCAGCAUGUGUUUCAGCAAAUUUAUAAACAAACCCAUGCCAGGAUGCAAACACAGGGAUACCAGAAAAGGGAACCCCAGGAAGAAUAAAGAAUGCUGGGAAAUGAAAUCCCUACAUAUGAUAUAAACAUAUCCCACUCCAUCCUUCACUAACCACAGGACCAGAAUUUCUAUCCAAAAAAAAUGCAAAAAACUCACUUCCAAAAAAUCAUCUAUACAUGAGUGUGAUGGACAGCUUCAGAAAGAUGCCACACCCAGUGAUCCAGAGCUCUAUAGAAAACCAGUUAUAACAUGCUACCCACUGAUGGCCUUGUUUCAUUAUAACAGGAGGUCAACAUUAUUUCUAGCAUCUAUUCUUUUGAAAUCAUUUUCAUUUACACAUAUAUCCUUCAUCAUCCAGUUCCCAGGAUUCAACACCCAAUGCCCCAGAGCUCUAUAGACAAAUCACAGACAUCUUCCCAAAACCUGACUGAAUUUAUUCCAGAAUGCCAGAAAUUCUACUAAUAUCCUUUGUUUCAGCAUCAUCUUCUGAUACGAACAUAUCCCACUCCAUCCUUCACUAAUCACAGGACCAGAACUUGUAUCAAAGAAACAAAACAGAAAUGCAGUAAAUUUAUUUCCCCAAAAUCACCUACACAUGAGUGUGAUGGACAGCUUCAGAAAGAUGCCACACCCAGUGAUCCAGAGCUCUAUAGACGGCCAGAUAGGACAUGCUACCCAUUGAUGGCCUUGUUUCAUUAUCACAGGAGGUCAACAUUAUUUCUAGCAUCUAUUCUUUUGAAAUCAUUUUCAUUUAUACACAUAUCCUUCAUCAUCCAGUUCCCAGGAUUCCACACCCAAUGUCCCAGAGCUCUAUAGAGAAAUCACAGACAUUUUCCCCAAACCUCAUUGAAUUUAUUCCAGAAUGCCAGAAGUUUUAAUAAUAUUCUUUGUUUCAGCAUCAUCUUCUGAUGCAAAAAUAUCCCACUCCAUCCUUCACUAAUCACAGGACCAGAACUUCUAUAAAAAAAGAUGCAGUAAACUCACUUGCAAAAAAUCACCUACACAUGAGUGUGAUGGACAGCUUCAGAAAGAGCCUACGCCUAGUACUCCAGAGCUCUAUAGACAACCAGCUAGAGCAUGCUACCCACUGAUGGCCUUGUUUCAUUAUAACAGGAGAUCAACAUUAUUUCUAGAAUCCAUUCUUUUGAAAUCAUUUUCAUUUAUACACAUAUCCUUCAUCAUCCAGUUCCCAGGAUUCCACACCCCGUGUCCCAGAGCUCUAUAGAAAAAUCAGACAUUUUCCCAAAACCUGACCAAAUUUCUUUAUUUCAGAAUGCAGAAAUUCUACUAAUAUCCUUUGUUUCAGUAUCAUCUUCUGAUACGAACAUAUCCCACUCCAUCCACAGGCCCAGAACUUAUAUCAGAGAAACAAAAAAAGAAAUGCAAAAAACUCACUUCCAAAAAAAUCACCUACUCAUGAGUGUGAUGGACAGCUUCAGAAAGAGACCACACCCAGUAUUCCAGAGCUCUAUAAACAGCCAGAUAGACAUGUUACCCAUUGAUGGUCUUGUUUUAUUAUAACAAAAUGUUAACAUUAUUUCUAGCAUCCAUUCUUUUGACAUCAUCUUCAUUUAUACACAUGUGCUUCAUCAUCCAGGACCCAGGAUUCCACCUGGUAUCCCAGAGCUCUUUAGACAAAUCACAUUUUUCCAAAACCUGACCAAAUUUCUUUAUUUCAGAAUGCCAGAAAUCUUGCUAAUAUCCUUUGUUUCAGCAUCAUCUUCUGAUACAAACAAAACCAUCUCCGUCCUUCACUAAACACAGGACCAGAACUUGUAUCAAAGAAACAAAAAAAGAAAUGCAGUAAACUCACUUCCAAAACAUCACUAAAACAUGAGUGAGGUAGACAGUUUCAGAAAGAUACCACGCCCAGGGUAGGGAAUAUUGCUUAUUGAUGGCCUUGUUUCAUUAUAAGGAGAGGUCAACAUUAUUCUUCGCACUCAUUCUUUUGAAAUCAUCUGCAUUUCCACACACAUCCUUCAUCAUCUAGUUCCCAGGAUUCCAUAUCUAGUGUCCCAGAGCUCUAUAGACAAAUCACACAUUUUUCCAAAACCUGACCAAAUUUCUCUAUUUCAGGAUGCCAGAAACCUUACUAAUUUCCUUUGUUUCAGCAUCAUCUUCUGAUACAAACAUAUUCCACUCCAUCCCUCACUAACCACAGGACAAGAACUUAUAUCAAAGAAACAAAAAAGAAACACAGUAAAUUUACUUCCCCAAAAAUCACCUAAACAUGAAUGUGAUGGACAGCUUCCAAAAGAUACCAUUCCCAAUGUCUCAGAGCUCUAUUGACAACCAGCUAGAGCAUGCUACCCGUUGGUGGCCUUGUUUCAUUAUAACAAGAGGUCAGCAUUAUUUCUCAUUCAUUCUUUUGACAUCAUUUUCAUUGACACACAUAACCUUCAUCAAGUUCCCAGAGAGUCUACAUUCCUAUCAAAGAAUGAAUCGACAAGUAGAAUAAAGACCCUUGAAUGAAACACAACCUCAUCAAAGCUUCAGCUUAACCUUUAGGCCAUAUUUCACAACUAAUGUUCCACAGUGGUGUAGUGGACGCAAGUAAUUGCAUUGCUUCUCUCAGUUCUCUUCCAGGAAAGCAUCCUUGCUCAUUAUAAUUGAAUUGUAUUUUGUUUCACCUGUUACUUUUUUCCAUUCAUAGGUUCAAAGUCACUUUAUACAACACUUUUUUCUCUUGCUUAGCAUUUUCCAGCAUUAACUAGUUUCAGUCUUCCUAUUCCUCCCUCCAUCUGGCCAAGCAUUCUUUCUUAUACUGCAGAAGUCCUGGGAUUCCUUCUCAUACAAUCAGAUGAUGAGAUGCCUUCAAAUUCAAGAGCUUCCAAUCUUCUUUUUCCAAUACAGGCCUAAGGAGGAACCUUAGGCAGAAUCUCAAGUCCCUGUGAUCACAGCCCAUAUAUCAUCAUGAAUUCUCCUCUGAAAAUGGCCCUGAGUCAAGGUCACCAUGGCAGGAGCUGGGAAGAGAGCAGUUCAUGAAAGCAGCCCCGCCUUUCUACAAUAAGCCAUAAUGUAACCAACUCAGUUAUUCAACAGCUAUGAACAUGGGACAAAUAAUUUUCCCCACAGAUUACUUUUUUCUUUGAUAUCAUAAGGUCCAAACAUGCUUACUAUAUUUUGUCUGGAUAACGCCUUCAUUUCUAGGUACGUCUCUUCACUUCCUUUCGCUAGCUAAAUAGCCCAAAUCAAACAAAGAGAAAAGAAAUUGGACUAAAACAAAAUUGAAAAAAAUCAACAUAAGCAAAAGGUCUGUUUGAAAUUCCACUUUCACUGUUACAGACCUUUACAGACAACCAAAGCAUUGGCAAUUUGCCCACUGGUAGCCCUGUUUCCUUCCACAACAAUGACAAGUCUUCUCCUUGGCAUUUUUUGACAUCUGUAUUAAUAAACAAGUCCUUCAUAAAACUGUUGUCAGGGAACCAAUUUUUCUUUUUAUCAAACAAUGGAAGUAAAAAUGCAAGUAAGACAUGUCCACCAACAUCUCCCUCAUCAAAAUUCCGACUGUGGGUUUAGGCAUUGUUUCACAAUCAGUGUUCCACAGAAGUGCAUCCAACCAAAGUAAUUGCAUUGCUUCUUUUAAUUCUCUGGGAAAGAAUCCUCAUUCAUUAUAACAGCUUUGCAUUUCACUUCACUUAUUAGGACUUGCCCUUCAUAUGCUUGAAGUCAUUUCAUGCAUUGUUGUCUUCUGUUGCCCAGCAUCAUUCUGCAUCACAUUGUUUCAGCUUUCCCAUGACUCUUUCCAUGGUGCCAAGCAUUCUUUGUUAUAAUGCAGAAGUCAUGGGAUUCCUUCCCAUACCAUCAGAUGCCUUCAAAUGCAAGUGCUUCCAGCCCUCUUUCUCCAAAGCAGGUUUGAGGACAAAACUUAGUCAUAUGCCCAAAUUCCUUUCCUCAGAGUUCAUAAAUGGAGAACAUGAAUGCCUCAUUGCAAAUGGUCCUGAGUCUAGAGCUGGGAAGAGAAUGAAAGUAACCCUGCUCCUUGAUAAACUCUAAUGACUAAACUCUACUUAAUUUGUUUCUUAGCACGUACACUUGGCCAAGAGCUGAGGGCUAUGGACCUUUCCCUUUCCAUUUUGAUGACCCUUAUCCUUGAUAUUAUAAUGUCAGCCCAUUUCUAACAUACAUUGGAUAUUUUCCUCUGCUUUUUCAAAAUAUCACUUUACUUCAAAAUUCACCUAGAACCAGACUUGAUAUCACAGAAUGAAAAAAAUGUGUUGAAUAUCCUUGAAAAAUAUCAAUUAACAUGAGCUGUGGUUGAGAAUUUCAGAAAAAAUCCACACCCAGUGUCUCAGAGGUUUAUAGAUGAAUACACUGGGGCCAUUUUACCUAUUGACAACCUUAUAUCUUUUUAUCACGAUACCAAAAAUACCUCUAAUAUUCUUUUGACAUCAUUUUCAUUUAAAAAAAUAUCCCUUCUCAUCCUUCACUAACCAGAACUUGAAUCAAAGAAACAAGAAUGAAAAGUGUUUAAUGGGCUUUUAAAAAAUUACCUACAAAUAAAGUGGGACCAACAGUUUCUUAAAUAUUUGACAUCCAGUGUUCCUGACCUCUAUGAGUAACCAAGAAGUGAUUAUUUUACCUACUGAUGGCUCUGUUUAAUUAUAACAAAAUGUCACCAAUACUUCUCAUCUACAUGACAUCACUUUCAUUCACAAAUAUGUCCUUCUCCAUCUCAUCUCCUGGAAGGCAAGUUUCCUAUCAAAGGAUGAAACUACAAUUUCACUAGACACUUCAGUGUGGUAUACCCUCACCUAAAUUUUCUCAGAGCAGUUAGGCAAUAUUUCACAACCAAGAUCCCACAGCUCUAUAACCAACCAAAGCAAUUGCAUUCCUGCUCUCAUUUCGACUCCAGGAAAAAACAUCUUGCUCAUUAAAAUUGAAUAGCAUUUUGUUAUACCUAUUAGUGUUUUUCCUUAAUAUUUUCAAGUCCCAUUUUACUGAUCAUCCCUCUGAAUCAGUUUGUUUCAUUCUUCCCAUGACUCACUCUAUCUUUCCAAGAAUUCUUUUUAUUCUGCAGAAGACAUGGGCUUUGUUCAUGUACCAUGAAAUGGUGACAUGUUUUCAAAUCCAGGUGCUCCCUUUUUCUCCAACACAGGUCUAAGAGUAAAAUCUCUAAAACACAGUCUUUAUAAUGGAGAUACCGAGUUCUCGCUUAGAAAUGUCCCUAAGGCUGGGCUGCCCUGUCUGGAGAUGGGAAGAGGAGUUCAUGAAAGUAGGCUCACUUUUCCAAAACAAGCUAAUCCAUGAUUCAGCCAGUUUCUAGGACACACAGUUGGCUAAUAGCUGAGGACUUGGGAUGUGAUUUUUCCCUAAUGAUGAACCUGUUCUUUGUUAUCAUCAACACAUUUCAAAUAUAUUUUGUUUAGGUAACACCUUCACUUCCAAAUACAUACUUACUCAUCUUUUCACUAGUCAGAGAGGCAGACGUUUUUAUUUUAAAAAAAUAAAAAAAAAUGUAUUAAAUCUAUUUCCAAAUAAAGUAAACUACAUAUGAGCUAUGAUUAACAUUUCCAGGAACAUUCCAUCUUUAAUAUCCCAGAUAACAAGGUACAGCCAUUUCUCUCAAUGAUUAUCUUCUGUCUUUCUAUCAGAAUGUCAAAAUCCUUUUAAUAACCUUUGUUUUGGUAUUUUAACAAUGUUAAUAAAUUUCUAGACAUUUCUGGCAUUUUGCAUGGAUAUCUCCCUCAUUUCCAAAUGUGUCACUAUAUAUUCUUUCAUUAGUCAGAGAAGAAGACUUUGCAUCAAAAGAUGAAAAAGAAAAUAUAUUAAAUCCACUUCAGAAAAAUCAAUUGAACAUAAUAUGAAAUUGAUAAUUUCCCAAAUAUUCUAUACUCACUGGCCCAAAGAUGCAUAGACAACUCUGUAAUUUACCCCUUGAUAUCCCUUACUCUAGAGUGUAAAAAAGUCAUCUACUAUUUUUUGGCAUUAUCUUCACUUAGACACACACACAUACAUCUCUAUACACACAUAUACAUACAUUUCUAUGUAUCUAUAGCUAUAUACAUAUACAGGUAUACUUCUGAUCUUCCUUCAUUAACCCAAGCAGCAGAACUUGAAUCAAGCAAAAAAAUUCAUUAAAUUCACACACACAAAAUUACUUACACAUAACAUUAUUUACAAAUAACUUACACAUGCGACUGACAAUUUCAGAAAUAUUCCACAUCCAGCAUGGCAUAACUUUCUACACAAUAAAAGCAGGAGAAUUUAACCUACUGGUAGCCCUGUUUCGUUAUAAAAGAACAUCAGCAAUACUUACUUUGCCAUUCUUUUGACAUCACCUUCAUUUAUAAACAUAUCCUUUACCAUCAUAUUCCCAGAGAGCCAACUUUUCUAUCAAAGAAUGAAACUACAAAUGCAAUAAAGACUCUUCAGUCCUAAACGCUUCUACCAAGGUUUUGUCUUUGCAUUUAGGCAAUAUUUCCCAACCAAUGUCCAUAUCUAACCAAAGCAAUUGCAUUCCUUCUCUCCCUUCUCCUUUUAGAAAAGAUCUUUGCCCAUCGCCGUGGUUAUAGCAUUUCAUUUCAUCUUUCAGUGCUUUCCCUUAUUAUAUUUGAAGUUGCUUUAUAUAUAAUGUUUUGCUUUCUUGGUUAGUGUCCCUCUGCACUAGUUGGUUUCCGUCUUUUCUUGAUUUUCUUCAACCUUCAAAGCAUUGUUUUCUUAUUUUACAGAAGUCAUAUGUUUCAUUCAGGUACCAAAGAUGAUGCAGAAGACAUGUAAUUAAUUUUUAUACCUUCACAUGAUGAGAUACCUUCUCCAAGUGCUUCUAACCCUCUUUCUCCAAUGUAGGCCUGAGAACAGAACUUAAGCAAAAUUUUAAAACCCUCUGACUAGAGCCUAUAUAGGGAGAUAAGAAGUUCCCCAUUUCAAAUAACCCUGAUGGACCUGGGAAGAAUAAAAGUAGCCUCAUUUUUCCAGAACAAGCUAAGGUCUGACCAAGUGGUCUUCUAGCACUCAUACUUGGUCAACAGUUGAGGACUAGGGCUAUAUCACUUUCCCUACAGAUGAAACUCUUUCUUAAUACCAUAAUGUUCAAAUAUUUCUCACAUGUUUUAAUUAGAUAUCAAUUUCACUUCCAUAUAUAUGUGUAUAUCUAAUGCAUAUAUAUUAUAUCCCUUCCCAUUUUUCCAGUAGCCAGAGACCCAGAAUUUGUGUCAAAAGAUAAGAGAAAUAUAUAUAUAUAUAAAAUUCAAAUAACUCACCUAAAUGUAAGUUGUGACUGACAAUUUCAGAAUUAUUUCACACUCAGUGUCCCAGAGCUCUACAGAUCACCAAAGAAGCUGCAUUUUACCCACCAAUGACCUUAUUUCUUUAUACCAAAAUUUCAAAAAUACUUUUAAUAUCCUUUGUUUUGACAUCACCUUCACUUAACACCAUGAGCAAUUUUUAUCUCAAAGAAUAAAUUAGAAAUGCAAGAAAAAACACUUUACCUAAACGCACCCUUGCCUAGGCUUUGUCUGAAUAUUUAGGCAAUAUUCAGCAACUAAUGUCUCACCAUUUUUUAACUAGUCAAAGCAGGUAAAUUCCUUCUCUCCAAUCUCCUUCAGGAUAAGAUCCUUGCUCAUUAUAGUCAUAAUGCAUUUCCUUACACCUAUUAGUCUUUUCUGUUAUAUUUUAAAGUUACUUUAUACUAUCUUUUCCUCUGUGGCUGAGCAUCUCUCUUAAUCAGUUUGUUUCAGUCUUCAAAUUUUCAAAUUGUCUUCUCUGAAAUUGCUGGAAUCUUUACUUUUAUUCUUUACCAUAUUGGAUUGAGCUAAUGUUUAAUUGAUGUGCUUCAGCCUUGCUUCUCCAGAGGAGCCCUAUGAAUUAAAAUGAAAUAUUAUCCAGAGUCCAUGUGACUACAGUACCCAUAUAAUCAACUGACCAUUGAAAAUGGCCCAUAGAAGACCUGCCCUGGAUUAAGCUGAGGAGUUCAUUAAGGUAAUCUGACUUCUUAAGAACCACCCAAUUUUUGACCCAACUUGAAUCUACAGCUGGCCUAAGUUGGCAUAAGACCAGAGAUUGAUUGUUUCCCCUAACUUCUUCAUUUGAUAAAUUCGAGAUAUUUCUAAUACUUUUCAUUUUGCUAUUACAUUCAUUUCCAAUUGUAUUCCUACUUUUCCCUUCCCUAGCCAGAGAGCCAGAAUUUGUUCAAAGACUAAAAAACACAUUUUUUUGCCUGUCAUCUUCAUAGAAAUUGUGUCUGAGAGUUAGUGAGUCCACAACUAAGUCCCUACCAUUCUUUUUUCUACUUAGUUAAGGGCAUCCCUCCUCUCAUCUCUCCUCAAUGACCAAGAUCCAUUUUUACGUGCAGUUUCACCUAUUAAUGUCUUCCCUUGAUAUUUUUUGAAUCACUGUAUACAUUCUUUCCCUCUCCUGAUGAGUAUUUCUCAGGAUCACUUCAUUUCAGUCUUCCCAUACCUCCCUACAUCCUUUAAACAUCUUUUCUCAUAUUGCAGGAAUCAUGGUUAUCCCUCACUUACCAGAGUAUGUUGAGGCAUUCCCCAGUCCAUGUACCUUUCCCGAUUCCUUGAUGUCUUGUUACAGGAUCAAAAAUAAGGACCGUCCCUUCCAUGUGUAGAGAGUUCUUAACCAUUUGGAGCUGGCUCUGAGGCAGAGCUGCCAUGGUUGAUGUUUGGAGGGUGAGUAAAUCAAGUAAACCUCACCCUUCCUGACACAGCCAGGACCCAGACUCUGACCCAUCCAGUCUCCAGGACCUACUUCUGAACAACAGGAUAGAACCCCAGAUUUUCCUUUUACCUUGGUGCCUAACCAAAGCUUUGCUUCUUGACAACAAGCUGGUCAUUUAAAGUAGGAAUUCUGCCUAUGUGUAAUCAUUUCAAAACCAUGUGGAGCUGGCCCUGGGGAAGAGCUGCCCUGGCUGAUGUUUGGAGAGUGAGUAAAUCAAGCAAACCUCACCUCUCUGUAGCACAGCAGGCAACAGACUCAAACCCAUCCAGUCUCCCAACUCUCCACCUGCCAUUCGGGCAAGGACUAGGCCAUUGUUAUCCAACUGUUCAACAGAUCUGCUUCUUGAAUCCAAGACACAGGACCAGAGAUCCUCAAUUUUCCUUACCCCCUUUAAAAGUCCAAAACAAAAUAGGCUAUGUACAGUGGAACUGGCUCUGGGGAAGAGCUGCCCUAGCUGAUGUUUGGAGGGUGAGUAAAUCAAGAAAGCCUCACCCUUCCAGAUCCAGCCAGGAUCCAGACUCUGACCCAUCCAGGCUCUCGUCAUCUGAAUAGGACCUGGACUUUGCCUUUUUCUGAACUGUUUAACCCUACUUCUUUCCUUUGCUUUAUCUUUACAAUUUUCGUCAUAGCCUUUGUUUUUACAUCACCUUCAUUUCCAAAUAUACCCAUCCCCAUUAUUUCCAUUCUAAGCCAUCCCUUAGUACAAGAAUCAGAUUAAAGAAAUGAAGCUAAAGUGGUUCUGUUAAGUCCCACCAGGAACAACAUAUUUCUCCCACAUCUAUAUAGAAGGAACUGAGAUGAUUUUUCGCAAGUCCACGAGAAUAUCCUUGGUCUCUACAAUAAACAAUGCACUCACUUUUUUUGCUUUGAGAAGCUUUCCACUGUGGUAGUGAUUGAUUAUAUUGUUUUCCUAGUUCUCCUUCCUUCCCUCUGCAUUAUCUACUAAGAGUCUUCCCGUUUCCCCUCCCUAAAUCCUUCCUAUUCCCUUUAAAAUCCAUUACCAACAGCAUUAAUUAAUUUUGUAUAAAAUGUAUAAUUUGUUUAAGCCUUCCUCCAAUCGAUAUUGGCUAUUUCUUGAAAACUAGCCACUGUACCCAAAGUAUAUCUCCUCCAGGGUCUUUGCCCCACUCCAGGCAUAGGUAAUUGACUGUGGGACCUAGCCUUGCAGCAGAGGUGCCCAUACUGAAGUUGAGAGGGUGAGUAAAUCUGAAACAAACCUCACUCCUCCCAGUCCAACUAGGCUCUAGACUCUGACCCAUUCAGUCCUUGGAUUCUACUUCUGACCAUUAAGAUAGGACCUGGGUCUUUCCAUUUAGCCUGAUGCUUCUCCAGCUUCUUGACAGCAGGGCACUGGACUUAAGAGAGAGAGAAAAAGAAUCCCUCCAGAGCCCAUGCCUCUCCUCCCCUGUGGAGGUAAUUUAAUCCUUAAUUGACUAGGCUCUGGGGCAAACCUGUCCUGCUUGAGGAUUACAGGGUGAUUUAUUCAAUGACACCUAAUUUCUCUACAACUAGAUAGACCCUAAGUUCUUUUCCCUUGCUCUAUCUGGUUCCUAUUUCUGUCCACCAGACUACAACCUGAAAUUACCUAUUUAUUACCUUGUCAUGAGCUCAUUGGACCAGAAAUAGAUAUCCUCUAGAGUCCAUAGCAACCCUGCUCCUCCCCCACUGCCUCCCUCAUCCCUCAGGUCUGGGGAUUGUUAUUUCAUUAUUGGAGCAGGCCCAGAGGAGGAGCUAACCUGGCUGGCACUGAGAUGGUGAGAUAGUCAAGGAAGUCUCACAUGUAGAGAAUUAACCCAGGCUAAACACACACAACCAGUCCUUAGCCUUUUUGCCCAAGAACUUGGGGUCCCAAGGGAAUGUGUCACUUUCUUGAUGAUCAUCCCUUGUGUCUUUAUAUUACAAUCUUUUUUUUCACCGAUGUGAAAUCUUUUGUUCCUAUAUUGUAAUCACUGCCAUAUAAAGCUUUUCUUAUCAUUCCUUGCUGAUAGAAAUGUCCCUUAUAAAAGAGAAUGUAAAGUGAUUUGCAAACAUGGAAGUACUAUGUAAAUGCUAGCUAUUAUUAUUAUUAAGAAAAGAAUUGCAAAAAUGGCACUUUGAUAAAAUCAAACUUCCCCUCAACCAUAUUUGACUCUAUACACUAUAUUCUACACCCACAGUCCCUCACUACUGCAAAACAAAAAAAGCAGAUAUUUUCACAACUAUUCUUCAGGACCCAGAUCCGUAGACCUUACUAUUCUAGUCUUUUUACUUUGUUUUUUAUUGCUUUCCAUUGACAUUUUUGGAGUCACUAUAUACAUUCUGGUCCUUUUUUUCUGAACAUUCCUUUGUAUCAGUUUGUUUCAGUCUUCCUUCAUCACUCUACGCAUCCUUUCUCAUACUGUAGAAGUCAAUCAUUUCAUUCACAUGCCAUAAUAUAUUGAGAUAAUUCCCCGUCAAUGCCUUUCCUAGGUACGUUUUGACACUUGGCCACUGGAUUAAAAGUACAAACCCUCCAGAAUCCAUGGCCUCAUCUAUUUUGGAGAUCAUUGGUUCCCCAUUUGAGCUGGCUCUGAGGCAGAGCUGCCCUGGCUGAUGUUUGGAGGGUGAGUAAAUAAAAAAGCCUCACCCCUCCUGAUACAGUCAAGACCCAGACUCUGACUCAUCCAGUGCUUGGGGUCUACUUCUGAUAAUCAGGCUAGAACCUAGUAUUCUGCUAACCUGAUGCCUCAACUCCUGCUUCUUGCUACCAUUCUACUGGACCAAAAGUAGAGACCCUCCAGAGUCCAUGACUUCUUCCCAUGUGUAAAGAAUUCAUAAUCAUUUGGAGCUGGCUCUGAGGCAGGGCUGCCCUGGCUGAUGUUUGGAGGGUGAGUAAAUCAAGCAAGCCUCACCCCUCCCAAUACAGCCAGGACCCAGACUCUGACCCAUCCAGUCUCCGGGACCUACUUCUGAACAUAAAGAUAGAACGUGGGAUAUUCUCGUUACCUCUCUUCCUUACCUCCUGCUUCUUGACAUCAGACCACCCAACCAAAAGUUGGGAUCCGAUAGAGUCUGUGGUCCUCUCCUAUGUGUAAUAGAUUCAUAACUAUUUGGAGCUGGCCCUGGGGCAGAGCUGCCCUGGCUGAUGUUUGGAGGGUGAGUAAAAUAAACAAGCCUCACCCCUCUAUAGCACAGCAGGCAACAGACUCAAACCCAUCCAGUCUCUCAACCCUCCCUGUUAUCCACUGUUAUCCACCCUGCUAAGAGAUCUGCUAUUUGAAUCCAGGACAACGGACCAGGACCAGAGAACCUCCACAUUCUCUGUCCUCUCUCCAAACUCAGAAUGAAACAGGUUACUUCUUGCUGUAACUGGCUCUGGGAAAGAGCUGCCCUAGCUGAUGUUUGGAGGGUGAGUAAAUCAAGAAAGCCUCACCCUUCCAGAUCCAGCCAGGAUCCAGACUCUGACCCAUCCAGGCUCUCAUCUCUCUCACUCACAACCUCACUAAGUUCUAAAACUUGCCUUUUCUACACUGUCCACCCCUGCUUCUUUCCAUUGCUUUAUCUUUAUGGUUUUCAUUAUAGCCUUUGUUUUGACAUCACCUUUUCCAAAAAUGCCCAUCCCUAUCAUUUCCAAAAUAAGCCUUUGAGUAGUACAAAGAAUUAGAAAAAAAUGGAGUUGAAAAGCAAUUCAGCUAAAUGACCAACUAAUUCAUUAUGUUAACCUUCAUGUGCAAUAUUAUAUACUCAUAUUUCCCCAAUAGCUCCAUAGAAAGGAGAGAGAGAACUUUUCUCAACUUGUCUAGAAGAACAAGAUUCUUUAGUGUUACAAUAUCAAUGUACUCACUGUCACUUUGUGAGGAUUUCCACUGACAUUGUGGGAGUCACCGGAAGAUUGAUUUUCUAGUUCUCCUUCCUUCCCUCUGCAACCAGAUAGGUUGAGCAAUUGCCCAAGGUCACCUAAGUAAAUGUGUUAAACAUGUCUUCAUAAUCUCUAAUAGGAUCUGGGCACGUACUAGCUAUUUGCUAAAUGAUACCAGUACCUCUUAAGAGUCUUCCCAUUCCUCCUCCCUAAAUCCUUCCUAUUCCUCCUGGAAUCUGUUGCCACUAUCACGCAAAUGACUCCUCCAAUCAAUGUCCAACUCUCAGCUGGUUCUUGACAACCUGCCACUGUACCCAAAAGAGAGCCCACCAGAGUCCUUGGGCCCCCUAGGUGCAGCUAAUUGAUUGACCAUGGAAGCUGACCUGGGAAAGAGAUGCCCAAAUUGUAGUUUAGAGGGUGAGUAAAUCAAUGACAAACUUUACCCCUCCAAAUCCAGCCAGGUCCCAUACUCUGACCCAUUCAGUCCCUGGACUACUCCAGACAAUCAGGAUAUGACCAGGGUCUUCCCAUUUGCCAUGAUGCCUCCCUAGCUUCUUGACAUCAGGGCACUGAACCUAAAAGAAAGAGAGUCUCUCCAAAGUCCAUGCCCCCUCCUCUCCCUUGUGGAGAUCACUGUUGUCCUUCAUACUCAAAGAGGACCAAAAUGACAUCACUAUAUCAGGGUCAAUGUACUGUGAGUCCGAUUGUGGCUGACCAGACCCAUAUUUGCUCAGAAGGCUCUAUCACAGAUCAGGCGCAAAUAGUCUGUGUGAACAUUUGAGAUAGAGCGAUCGCCAAAUUUGUACAGCUCCAGUUUCUGAGCUGCUGUAAUUCUGCUUUGCUCCUAGAACACAGCACCUUCUUUGGCAUGGAUAGGCAUGCUUGACGGUCCUGUGCCAGGAUCUCCCAUGUCUCCCAGUCAAUACCAAAAUUAUUCAGAGAGACUUUCAGAGUGUCCUUGUAUUAUUUCUUCUGAACUCUCUAUGAGCAUCUGCCUUGUGUGAGCUCUCUGUAAAAUAGUCUUUUAGGCAAACCUGCUUUUGGCAUUCAAGCAUCACAGCUAGCCCAUUGAAGUUGUGCUCACUGCAACAGUCUGAAUGCUUGGCAGUUCAGCUUGAGUAAGUCCUAAAUUAAUUUAGCUCCUGGCCAAAGCUGCCCUGCCUGAGACUGUAGAGUAAUUCAUUUAAUUACACAUUACUCCUCUACAGCUAAGUAGAACCCAGACUCUGACCCGUAUUGUAAUUAGGCCCUAUUUCUGACCAUCAGACCAGAGUCUAGGACUUUCUAUUUACUUCUAUAAUGAGCUCUCUAGACACACAAGUAGAGGCCUUCUGGAAUCCACAGCAACCUCCCUUUCCCUUCUUUCUGAGCUAUGUAUUAACUCACCAUUGGAGAUGGUCUAAGAGAAGAGCUGACCUGGCUGAUAUUUGGAGGGAGGAAGCCUUUCAUCUCUAGAAAAAAACACUGCUCAGACAUACUCAAUUUGCCUUUAAUCUCUACCUUUGUCUAACAGGCCUUAGCCUUGCCAUUUUUUCUGAAGGUCAUCCAUGAAUCUUUACCAUAAAGCUGUUUUUUCUGCAAAUGGGGAGAUCCUUUGUUUAUAUAUCACCAUUAAUGAAAUAUAUGACCUUCCUAGUCACCCCCUGCCCAGAGAACCAUUUCUUAUAACCAUGAAUAGGGAAAUAAAUUCAGAGAAGGCACCUCUGCACAACCAAAUGCCACAUUAAUUGAAUUUGAACCUGUAUGCAAUAUUCCACAUGCAUAGACUUACACCAUUGCAAAGCAAAGGAGAAAGCACCUUUUCUCAACUGUUUUCUAGGACCUAGAUCCUUGGUUAUUAUCAUUAUAAUUCCUUCACAUUUUCUUUUUGCUCCUUUUCAUUCACCUUUUUGGAGGAAUUGAAUACCCUGUUUUCCUUUGUUGCUGGCCAUCUCUUUUCACAACUUCCUAUCAAUCUUCCCAUACUUCUCUCUAUCCUUCCUGGGCAAAUGACUUUAUAUGAUAGUAAUCGUGGGCUUGAUUUAUGUAUCUCAAUAUGUUGAGCCAUUCCUCAAUUUAUGUCCCUAUUCAUUGCUCCUUGAUACCUGGUUAUUGGACCAAAACUGGAUACCCUCCAGAGUCCGUGUUCUCAUCUCUUGGAGAUCAUUGACUUCCCAUUGGAGCUGGCUCUGAGGCAGAGCUGCCAUGGCUGAUGUUUGGAGGGUGAGUAAGUCAAGUAAGCCUCACCCCUCCUGAUACAGCCAGGACUCAGACUCUGACCCAUCCAGUCUCCGGGACCUACUUCUGAACAUGAAGAUAGAACCUGGGAUUCUUCCUUUACCUCACUUUCUCUCUCCCUGCUUCUUGACAUCAGACCAACCAGACCAAAAGUUGGGACCCUAUAGGGUCCGUGGUCCUCUCCUAUGUGUUGUAGAUUCAUAACCAUUUGGAGCUGGCCCUGGGGCAGAGCUGCCCUGGCUGAUGUUUAGAGGGUGAGUAAAAUAAAGAAGCCUCACCCUUCUAUAACUCAGCAGGCAACAGACUCAAACCCAUCCAGUCUCUGAACCUUCCUCUGAAACCCAGGCUAGAGCCUGGGCCAUUGUUAUCCACCCUGCUAACAGACCUGCUAUUUGAAUCCAGAACAACGGACCAGGACCAGAGACCCUCAGCUUUCCCAUUCCUCUCUCUCCCCAUCCACAGUGAGAUAGGCUACUCCUCGCUGGAACUGGCUCUGGGGAAGAGCUGCCCUAGCUGAUGUUUGGAGGGUGAGUAAAUCAAGAAAGCCUCACCCUUCCAGAACCAGCCAGGACCCAGUUUCUGACCCAUCCAGGCUCUCGUCACUCUCACUACCUGGCCAGCAUUGCCCACCCCUGCUUCUUUCCAUGGCUUUAUCUUUACAAUGUCCUCAUAGCUUUUUGUUUUUUCAUCACCCUCAUUUCUAAAUAUGCCCGUCCCCAUUAUUUCCAAAACAAACCGUCCAUUAGUACCAAGAAUUAGAAAAGAAAUGGCGGUCGGCAGUUCAGCAAAACCAACCAACACAUCCACCAAUCAGCCUGCCUAUGCAGUAUUUCAUACUCAGACCAUCCACAUGUGCACUCAGGCUCUAGCCUCUACCUUUGCUCAAUAUAUUAGGAUCAGAGACUUGUCAUUUUCCUGAAGAUCUCCUUGUUGUAUAUAUAUAUAUGACAAACCUCUUCCACAAACAUGGAAAUAUUUUUAUUGCACGUCACCAUCACUGCCACAUAUAUCUUGCCUCAUCAUCCCCUACCCAGAGGACCAUCCCUUAGAACCCAGAAAUGCAGAAAAGUACUUCUAGAAUCCAAACAACAUAUUGAGUUUGAUCAUAUUGCCACGUUCCACACCGAUAUAGUCUCUCCCCUUUGCAGAGCAUGGAAGAAGGUACAUUUUUUCAGCUUUGCUUUAGGACCGAGCUUCUUGGUCAUUAUCAAGAAAAUGCCUUUAAUUUCCCUUUUUAGAGCAUUUUGCAUUCACAUUUUUGGAGUCAUCAUUAAUACUGGUUCCUGUUUUUCUGACUGUCCUUGGCAUCAAUUGAUAUUAGUCUUUCCAAGCCUCUGCCUGUCCUUUUUGAUUCUUUCUCACCUUAACUGAAUCAUGGGCUUCAUUUGCGUACCACAGCACUUAAAGCCCCAGCAGUCAAUGUGACUUUUGCUGCUUCUUGUAGACACAUUUUAUUUCCAUGGACUCCCAUUUUCACCAUGGACACAAGAAAUUACUCAUCAUAAAUGGCACUGAAGCAGAGCUGCCCUGACUGAAACUGGGACGGGGAGUUCAUCCAGGAAACCUCACCUCAAGUGAGGCCAGACUCUGACCCAGUCAAUUUCUAACAUCUCCAUUUGGGCUACAGCAUAGGGUCAACUACUGAUCCUUUUGCCUACUUUGGAACAAAUUUGCCUUACUGUUGACCUUGUUUCUUUAUAUCAUGUAAAACAAUUGUAAUAUCUUUCGUUUUAAGAUCACUUCCGUUUCCUCAUCCCCCUUCCAGAGAACUACCCUUUAAAUAAUAGAAUGAAACAAGGAAUGCAAAAAAGGCACUUACUUAAGCAUAACUAAACCACACAGAAGCUGCUUCUGAUGUUUGGGGCAGUAUUCCACACCCGAAGUCCAGGUGCUCUGUUCCCAAAAGAAGUAGGUGCAUUGUCUUAAUUCUGUUCCAGGAGAAAGAUCCUAAUACAUGCACUUCGAGUUUUGUUGCUUUCUGUUGACAUUGUGUACACUCUUUUCCUCUCUUCAUGACCAUCCCUCUCUAUCUGUUGAUGACAAUCUUCCCAUUCCUCUCUCCAUCCGUCCUGGGCUUCUUUCCUUAUAUCACAGGAACCAUAAGCUUCAUUUUGGUGUACCAGAGUAUGUUCAGGCAUUUUCCAUUUGACAUCCCUUUCAUAUACUCCUUGAUACCUGGCCACUGGAUCAGAAAUAGAGCUGCUACAGAGUUUGUGGCCAACUCACUUUUGGAGAUCAUUGACUCCCCAUUGGAGCUGGCUCUGAGGCAGAGCUGCCCUGGCUAAUGUUUGGAGGGUGAGUAAAUCCAGAAAGCCUCACCCCUCCCAAUACAGCCAGGACCCAGACUCUGACCCAUCCAGUCUCCGGGGCAUCAUUCUGACCAUCAGAAUAAAGCCUGGGAUUCUCCCUUUACUCUGAUUCCUCUUGACACCAAACCACUGGACCAAAAGUGGAGAUCCUCCAGAGGCUAUAGCCUCUCCCAUGUGUAGAGAAUUCAUAACCAUUUGGAACUGGCUCUGGGGUAGAGCAGCCUUGGCUGAUGUUUGGAGAGUGAGUAAAAUAAACAAACCUCACCUCUCUAUAGCACAGCAGGCAAUGGUCUCAAACCCAUCCAGUCUCCCAACCCUCCCUCUGACACACAGACAAGGACCAGGCUACUGUUAUCCAUCCUGCCAACAGAACUACCACUUGAAUCCAGGACAACGGACCAGGACCAGAGAACCUCCACAUUCUCUGUCCUCUCUCCCAACUCAGAAUGAAACAGGUUAUUUCUUGCUGUAACUGGCUCUGGGGAAGAGCUGCCCUAGCUGAUGUUUGGAGGGUGAGUAAAUCAAGAAAGCCUCACCCUUCCAGAUCCAGCCAGGACCCAGACUCUGACCCAUCCAGGCUCAUUGCUCUCACUUACCAACUUGCCUUUUUCUAUACUGCCACACUUGCUUCUUUCUAUUGCUUUAUUGGUACAAUUUUCAUCAGAGAUUUUGUUUUUAUGUCACCCUGCUUUCCAAAUAUAUUCCUUCCCAUCCUCAACACAGGAAGUAAUCCCUUAGUACAAAGAAUUAAAAAAGAAAUGGAAAAAAGGCAAUUCAACAAAACAGCCAACUCAUCCAACAAGUCAGCCUGCAUAUACAAUAUUUCACCCUCCUUGAUUCCUGUCAUCUACAUAUAAGGGACAGAGAUGACUUAUCAACUAGUCUCCAGGAAAAAUAUUCUCUGUUAUUGCAAUGACAUUGUACUCUCUUUCACUUUGUGGGGAUUUCCAUUGACAUUGUUAUAGUCAUUGGAUAGACUGUUUUCCUGGUUUACCUUCCUUCCCUCUGCAUCAGCUCCUAAGAGUCUUGCCACAUUUCCUCCCUGAAUCCUUCCUAUUUAUUCUUCCUGGAUGGUUACCACCAUCAUGCAAUUGAUUAUGGCGGCAUAAUUUGUUAGGCAGGCCACCAACCAAUGUCCUUGCCUACCACUUCUUUUUUUAAAAUAAAUUUUAUUUUCGUAAAGAUCUAAUCUCUCUCUCUCUCUCUCUCUCUCUCUCUCUCUCCCCACCCCACCCCUCCCCCAAAGAGGAAGCAAAAAAAAAAUAAAGUCUGUUAUAAACAUGUACAAUCAAACCAAACAAAUUCCUGCACUAGUCAUGUUCAAAAAAAUAUGUCUCAGCCUGCACUCAGAGUUCAUCUCCUUUCUAUUAGGAAGUAGGUAGCACAUUUCAUCAUAGUUUCCAAAGUCUUUUAGAGUUGAUUUACUAUACAAUAUAGUUGUUAUAGUAUAAAUUGUACCCCUGGUUCAGCUCAUUUUAACUUUGUGUCAGUUCAUACAAAUCUUCCCAGAUUUCUCUGAAACCAUCUCCUUCAUCAUUUUUUACUUGUUCAUCCAUUCCCCAUCUGAGUCCCCCUCUGUUUCCAAUUCUUUGUCACCAUAAAAAGAGCUACCACAAAUAUUUUUGUAUAAAUAGGUCCUUUCCCUCUUUGUUCUCUUUGAGGUAUAGUCCUUAUACUGGUAUCAUUGCUGCCUUUUUUCUUGACAUUUUUCUUGACCCAAAAUAGAGCCACUCUAGUGGCCUUGGCACCCCUCUCCUAGAUGGAGGUAACUGAUUAAUUAUAGGGUAGAAAUAACCAUACUGAAGUUGAGGGUAAACAAAUCUAGGACAAACUUCACCCCUCCCAAUCCAACUAGGCCUCAGGCUCUGACCCAGCCAGUCCCUUGACCCUACUUCUGACCAUUAGAUUAGGACCUAAGUCUCUCCAUUUACCCUGAUGUUUCCUCAGCUUCUUGACAUCAGGCUACUGUACUUAAGAGAAAAUCCCUCCAGAGCCCAUGCUCCUCACCACUGUGGAGAUAAAUAAAUCUUGCAUUUCCUGAGGAUUGCAGGGUGAUUUAUGCAAUGAUACCUCCGUCCCUUACAACUAGAUAGACUCCAAAUGCUGAUUCAUGUGUAUAUGGUCUCUAUUUCUGAUUACUAUGCUAGAACCUAGGACUGCCCGUUUCCCCUAAAAACUACCCACUUCUGGUUAAUAACCCAUUGGACCAGAAAUAGAGGUUUAUCAGAGUUCAUAGCAACCUUGAUACCCCUCCACCUUCCCUCCCUCCUCUGAGUUGUGGAUUAAUAACACUCCACUGGAGCUGGCCCAGGGGAAAGAACUGACCUGGUUGAUAUAGGCAGGGUGAGAUAAUCAUGGAAGCCUCUCAUCUCAAGACUUACAUUCACAUACCACAUGCAUUUAGCCAUUCCCCAGUUGAAGUAUCAAUGACCUCAAUGGAGUAUAAGCCUAGUAUUGGAACCUCUGGGUGAAAGGGUAUGAGCAUUUUUAGCCACUUAAUUUUCAUAAUUACAUAUUGCAUUUGAAAGUGGUUGUGGUGAUUCAAAACUCCACCACCAAUAUGCUAGUAUGCCUACAUUUUUGAACAUUUGAUUGAUUGAACAUUGAUUGUUCUAUCAUCUUUUAUCAUCUUUGAAAAUUUUCAGGGUAUAAGUUAAAACCUCAAGUUUAUUUUGAUUUGCAUUUUUAUUAUUAGUGAUUUGGAUCAUUCCUUGAUAUGGUUGUAAAUAGUUUGUAAUUCUUUGGAUAACUUUUUUUUACAUGCUUUGGUUACUUAUUUAUUGAGGAAUAGCGUUUGGUUUUACAUAUACAUAUAUUUGUCUGUAAAUAUAUAUGUGUGUAUAUAUAUGUUAGUUGUUUCUGAAUUUUGAUUACCAAAUGCUUAUCUGAGAACCAAAGUUUAUUUUUCCAUUGAAUAUUUCUCUCCUUAUCCUAGGUAUACUUAUUUGUUUGUGCAGAAAUUUUUCAGUUUUAUAUGAUCAAGGUUACAAGUUUUAUCUUUUUUUCUGAUUGCCUCUAUCUGUUGUUUGGUUUUAAAAAAUCUAACCAGGGCUGUGAAAGAUAUGAUCUGCUUUUCUUCUUAAUUAUAUGAUAUUAUCAUGAAUAUUAAAGCCACAUAUCCAUUUAGAAUUUAUAUUGUAAUAUACUGUAAGGUGUUGGUCCAAACAUAAUUUCUGCCAUUCUGAUUUCCAGUUUUCUCACCGCUUUUUGUCAAAUAGGGAGUUAUUUCCUAAGUAAUUCAUGUUUUCAAUUUAUCAAAUACUGAGUUACAGAAUUCCACUGUUUCUGAUUCUAACUUGUUUAUUCUAUUCCAUUGAACUACUCUAUUUUUUAACCAAUCACUGAAUAAUUUUGAUGACUGUUGUUUUAUAAUAUGUUUUGUGGUUAGGAAGUAUUAUACCUCCUUCUUUCCUAUUUUCCAUUGUUUCCCUCUAUACUCAAGAUUUUUAAAAUCUCUUAUUGAAUUGUAUUAUUUUAUCAAGUUCUGUAAAGUAUCCCUUCAAAUAGUUUGAUUGGCACAGCAUGAAAUUUGUAAAUUAAUUUUGGUAAUAUUGGUGUAUCUAUUAUAUUUGCAUGUCUAGCCAUGAGCACUGUAUAUAUUUCUCCAGUCAUUUAUGCUAGUCUUUAUUUCUUCCAGUAGCACUUUGUAACUGAAUCUAUUCAAGUAUUUUAGUUGCUUUGGUAGAUUGACCCCAACUUGGUGCAUUUUGUAGUUAUUUGGAAUGAUAUUUCCCUUUCUAUAUUAUCUUUGGGAUUUUGUUGUUAUUAUAUAGAAAUUCUGCUGGCUUUGUGGAUUUAUUUUGUAGCCUGAAAUUUGGAUAAAACUAUUGUCUCAAUUGUUAUGUGCUGAUUCCUUAGGAUUUUCUAAGUAAACUGUCAUGUCAUUAGUAAAUAUGCAUAGUCUUGUCCUCUCUUUACUGAUCUUAACACUUGUAAUUUCUUUCUAUUGUAUUAAUUAAUGCUGCUGCCAGUAUAAGCAGUCAUCCUUGCCACACUGCUGUCUUUACUGGAAAAGUUUCUAGUGUAUUCCUAUUAAAUAUGAUGUUUUCUUUUGUUUUAGAUACGUGAUAUGUAAAAAGUCUCUCUAUGCCUGUACUUUUUAGGCUUUUCAGCAUAAAUAAGGGUUCUACUUUAUUAAAGGUUUUCCCCACUAGAUAAUAAUCAAUUAAGAUAAUAAUGUGGUUUGAUGCAUUUGUGUUUUUAAUGUGAUUAAUUAUAUUUAUUUUUUUCAUAAUGUUGAACCAUCCUCAUUUCCUUUGUGUAAAUCCAAUGAGUGAUUUCUUGUAUAUAUCGCUAUAUAGUCUGUUUGACAGGAUUUUAUUGAAAAUUGUUGAAAUUAUAUUCAUUAAUGAUCUAUAGUUCUCCUUCUGUACUUUGUCCUUACCUGACUUAUAUGCUCCUUGUACUGAUUAUUUAUUGUCUAUGUUCUAUAUUGUUCAUGGCCUAUUAUUAUCUAUAGUCUAUAAAGAACAUGUUUAAUAUUUCUGUAUUUUUAUAUUUAUUUCCUAUCUCUUAUGGUCUCACACACAGCCAAUUUUUGUAAAAGAUCCACAUGCUUCUGAGUGAUAUGUAUAUUCUUUGAUAUUCCAAUUUAGAAGAUGAUUUGAGACUUUUAGUUCUAAUUUCACCUGCACUUUGUUCCAUUCUACAUUCCUUCCCUCUUUAAUUUUUCUAUUAGAUUUGUCUGAAACUGAGAGGGACAUUAAAAUCAACUGUGAUUAUUGUUUUACUGUAUAUAUUUUCUUGUGAUUCAGUGUUUUUUCUCUUAAAAAUUAAUAUGCUAAGGUAUGUGAAGCAUAUAAAUCAAAUAUUAAUAUUAGUUUGUUGUUUAUGGUUUCUUUCAGCACUAUCUGGUUUUCUUGUUUAUCUCAUGCUGUGAAUUUCUAUUUUUGCUUUGUUUAAUAGCAUAAUUGCAAAUAUUGGAAAGCAGGUAUAUUUUCUCAGCUCUUUUCUAGAACCAAAAUCUUUGGUUGUUGUCAUUAUAGUGCAUUCACUUUCCCUUUUCAGUGCUUUCCAUUCACAUUUUUGAAGAAAUCAUAUAUAUUGUUUUUCUAACUUCCCUCUGCAUCCAUUCAUAUCAGUUUCUCCAGGACUCCUUCUACCUUUCCUAGGCAUUCUUUCUUCUAUCACAGGGAUCAUGGAUUUCACUUAGGUACCACGGAACCACUCCCCAAUCAAUGUGCCUCUCCCCUACUUCUCAUCGCCAGAUGCCUGGACCAAUACUAGACACUUUCCAAAGUCCAUGGUCCUCCAAAUGCCAUAUGGAAACGAUGAAUUCCCCCAUUGCAAAUGGCACUGCAGCAGGUCUCACCUGACAGAAACUAGAAAAAAGAGUUGAUCCAAAAAGCCUCACGUAUCUAGAACUAGCCAAAUGCACACGGUGGCUUUCUAGCUUUUACAUUUGGUGGGCAGCAUAGGACCAAACACCUGCCAUUUCCCCUGGCUUUUUUAUAUGAUAAUUUCAAAACACUUCCAACAUUUCUUAAUAUCACCCUCAGAGGCAAACUUAUCACUCCCAAUCUCCUACAUGGAGAAUCACAGUUUAUAUCAUAAAUUGAAAAGUGCAGAAAAGGCACUUCAGCAACACUCAUUCACACCUGAGUAAUACCUGAUCCUUUGUGCAAGAUUCUACACACAAAGUCCAGCCAGGCUGUACUGCAAAGAAGCAGGUUUAUGUUCUCAGCUCCUGUCCAAGACCAGAAGCCCUGGGCCUCAUGACUACAAUGCAUGCACUUUCACUCUUUCCAUGAAUAUUUUUAAAAUGAUCUGGUGUAUUGUUUUCCUUUCUUGCUGAUCAUCCCUCUCUGUCAUUUGAUAUUAGUCUUCCCAUGCUUCCUCACCCCGCCAUCCUUUCUAGGUAAACUACAUUAUUAUAUUGAAGAAAUCAUGGGUUUCGUUUAUGUACCAUACUAUGUUAAACAUCUCCUUAUUUGAUGUUCUAGCCUCCUACUUAUUAGCACUCAGUCAAUGGAUCAAAAUUAGAACCUAUCAGAGUGCAUCCCUUUUGGAGAUCAUUGACUUCCCAUUGGAGCUGGCUCUGAGGCAGAGCUGCCAUGGCUGAUGUUUGGAGGGUGAGUAAGUCAAGUAAGCCUCACCCCUCCUGAUACAGCCAGGACUCAGACUCUGACUCAUCCAGUCUCCGGGACCUACUUCUGAACAUGAAGAUAGAACCUGGGAUUCUUCCUUUACCUCACUUUCUCUCUCCCUGCUUCUUGACAUCAGACCAACCAGACCAAAAGUUGGGACCCUAUAGGGUCCGUGGUCCUCUCCUAUGUGUUGUAGAUUCAUAACCAUUUGGAGCUGGCCCUGGGGCAGAGCUGCCCUGGCUGAUGUUUAGAGGGUGAGUAAAAUAAAGAAGCCUCACCCUUCUAUAACUCAGCAGGCAACAGACUCAAACCCAUCCAGUCUCUGAACCUUCCUCUGAAACCCAGGCUAGAGCCUGGGCCAUUGUUAUCCACCCUGCUAACAGACCUGCUAUUUGAAUCCAGAACAACGGACCAGGACCAGAGACCCUCAGCUUUCCCAUUCCUCUCUCUCCCCAUCCACAGUGAGAUAGGCUACUCCUCGCUGGAACUGGCUCUGGGGAAGAGCUGCCCUAGCUGAUGUUUGGAGGGUGAGUAAAUCAAGAAAGCCUCACCCUUCCAGAACCAGCCAGGACCCAGUUUCUGACCCAUCCAGGCUCUCGUCACUCUCACUACCUGGCCAGCACUGCCCACCCCUGCUUCUUUCCAUGGCUUUAUCUUUACAAUGUCCUCAUAGCUUUUUGUUUUUUCAUCACCCUCAUUUCCAAAUAUGUCCGUCCAUUCCUAUCAUUUCCAAAGUAAGCCAUCCCUUAGUGCAAAGAAUUAGAAAAAGAAAUGGAGGUAGGCAGUUCAGUAAGACCUCUACCCAGCAAAAUAUCCACCAAGUUAGUCUGCAUAUGCUAGAUUUCACAAACAGACCAUCUGCCUCUAUAAUCAUAUUUAUGUAGAAGGAACAGAGGUGACUUCUCAGCUUUUCUCUACUGCAAAGAUCCUGGUCAUUACAAAAAUAAUGCAAUCAUUUAACUUUGAAGGACUUUCGCUGACAUUGUGGUUGACUGGUUUUUCCUUCCCUCUGUAUCAGUUCCUAAGAGUUUUCCCAUGUUUCUUCCCCGAAUCCUCCCUAUUCUUCCUGAGUUCCAUUGUCACCACCAUACAAUCAAUUCUAGUAGCACAAUUUGCUUCAACUCAGUAGAUAUUCCGCUCUCCUGCUUCUUGCCACCUGGUCACUGGACUGAAUAUAGAGCAUCUGCAGACUCUUUGGACCUCCUCCUGCUCUUCCUGACUGGAGUUAACUCAUUAUCAGUCAUUGCCUUGGGCAGAAUGGGCUGGAAUUGAUAGGGUGAGUAAUCUUGGAAGCUUCACCUAUGUAGAAUUACCUUUACCUAUCUAGUCUCUCACCCCUAGAAUUUCCCCGUAACUGUAACUUGGGACUUAUCACUAUUUCUCUUGACACCCUUUCCUUUUUAACCCCCUCUCAAUCCUAUCUCUACCAAUCUGUCCUUCAAAGAAAGAAUACCAAAAGAAUUGGAUAAAAAUGGUUCAGCUGCACUCAGAUUUCCCAUUCCCCUACAUCUGUCUGUAUUGGUAGAGAAACUCAAUAUAAAGAACAAACUGAAAGAUAAAUUUCAUAUUUUUCAAUUGCAUUCUCACCUCUAGCACCAUCCUGAGUUUCAGAGGCAUUGGAAUGGCUAAAUAGAAUGCUUAGAAAUAACAUAGCUAAGAUUUAUACAGUAACUGGAUAUAAGUGAGCUGAUCACCCCUAUCUCCUUUAAUAUCCUUUUCAACUCUAAUUCAGUUAACAAGCAUUUACUAGGCAGAAAAGCAUGGCCAAAUACCUCAAAACUGCUAUAGACAUCCCAUUCCAAACAGAUCUUUAACUAACAGAUGAAACAGUUAACUAUGUACAAGCACUAAUGAAAUGUUUUAAGUCUGUUUACUAUCAGGUAUCGGAAUUUCUUCCUCGAUCACCUGGCACCUCUUCCUUGCCACCACGUCCAACUGGGAGACCGAGCGCAUCAGGGAGAAAAGCAUCCUUCGAUCAUACUGGAAGAAUUCAUCCCGGAUCCUGUUGCCCAUCAACACUGCCAUCUGCCAUCAGACGCGGAACCAUACAUCGCCCUCCAAAAGAAGCUCAUCAUUCCUUGGGACCAGACAUCUCUUUUUGCCCCAUGCUGUUGCCCACAUUUGUAACGAAAGAGAAAGACCCCAGACUGGAUAUACCAACCUGCCCCUAUUCCUCCCAGAAGUUCCACUUGCAGACUGUGUUGCUAGCCAAAGACUUAAGCUGGAACAUAUUUCUUGGAUCCCUGGACCUAACAAUCUCACCCUGGUUUUCCCCUGCCCCUAUACACCCUCAGCCAAGAGUUGGAUUCCCAUGCCCACUGUCCUUUAGUUUAUCCCAUCCUCCAGGUACUUUAGCAUCUAAAGUUAUCUGUUGUCCUAAGGCUGCUGAUGACACCAUCCAACUGAUCCCCUUGACUCCUGUUCUAAGCACCUAAGGACUAUUUGUGACUCCAGUGUGAUUACAUGAAUUUCAGGUUACUAAAAAUAUGUGGAAAGUGACUCAUAUUCAAAAGCUCUAUAGUCCCAUAGAGAUUCCCCUGCUCCUCCCUGUCAUGGCUUGCAGCCAUACACAAAAUAAAAUGCUUUACUGGUGUACUUUAUAAGUGAGUUUUCUUUCCAUGUUAUUUCUUUCCUUUUCCAAAGGGUUACUUUAUAGAACUAGAUAAGAUGAAAAUUCAUUUUGAGAAACAAAAAAUCUUGAAUCUCAAAUGAAAUAAUAAAAAAGUAGAAAUAAAGAGUGCUUAGUUAUUACUAGAUGUCAAUCUUUUAUAAAAAUGUGAUCACUAAAACUAUUUGGAACUGGUUAAAAAAUAGAAAAGCAAAUAGAAAAGAAAAAAGAAAAGAAAAAAUGGAAUAUACUCUGUAGCUGUCAUGGUGAAACAAUGGCACACAUACCAGAUGAGGCACACAGAGACCUCUCUAUGGGAAUGCAUGCCAAGUCCCAGUGCCUCAAGGACCCUGUUCCUGCAGCACAGAGUUCACCAGAGUUCCUAACUAGAAAGCCAGAGGGAGGUGCAGCUGGGCUGCUCCCCACCCCCUUUCCCCAUGUCUGACUACAUCACUCACCACCUGCCCAGUAGCCCAAUGGGAGUGCUUCAUAACUCCCCUGGGCGAAGUAAAGUAGGCAGGUCACAAUGCAGUGUAGGUGCAGACAGCAGAGUCUGCAAGUUUGUCGUAAAGCUGAUUCCCAUGUGUGCAGUGAGAAAUUAGUGUGUUAUUCUCAAAUAUAUUAGCAAUAUUAAUAUCUCCAAAAUGAAUAUGCCUAAGACCCCAGUAGGAAUUAGUAAGCAGACCUCUUCAAGACAGCACCCCUUACAGGACAAGAUUGCCCCACCCCAGUCAGAAUACACUGGCCUCUUAAUUACCUUUGGCUUGAAUGAUGCAGAAACGACUUAUGUCUUUACUAUCAGACACUAUGUGUCUGACACUAUCCAGUGUCUUUACUACACAAAAUAUUUUUGGGAUUUGGGGAUGUGUCUUUUGAGUUUGUACUUGAAUAAUGUUUAAAACUAUAGUCUAGUGGUAUAGGAAUAAGUUUUAUGAACCCAAGGCUAGGCUAAUAGACUCUUCCUGGUUUUACAGCUCCCUUCUCCAUUUUCUUUCACAAGCAACCUAGGGUUGCUUUAAUUUGCAUUCUAAAUCCUUUCACCUCUUACUAGCCCAGCUUGUUUAAUUUGCAUUCAAAGGGGUGCCUGCCUGACGGAGAACAGGUAGGCUAGAAACUCUGGAAAACACAAUAGUGGCUUGUUGGAAUUAGCAAUCUCCAGAAGGAAUCAGACAUGAUAAAUCCUGAGAAUUAUGAGAAUAUGGUCAAAGCUGAUUCCAAUGAGCAAUGGUUCAGGGUCAGUGAUAGCAAGAUAUGGUUGCAAAGGCAAUUUUCUUGUUAUGGCUAUAUUUAAUAAUUUACAAGAUUGAUUUAUACUGGAUCCUUCUUUCAGAAAAUUGGCUUGGGGAUGAAAUUAUCUGGAAAGGAAUUAAAUAUCUUGACCUUUGUUGUAUGUCACAUAUCCCUUAGGCUUCCUACAGGGAAGAGGAGACUGACAGUGUGCAAAAUUUCUAAAUUGCACAGGAGUUUCUCACCCAGAAAAGAAAUCCUGUGAAUGAGAUAAGAUUCAGGAAGAUCCCUGAAUAGGUACAAAGUUACAUCUUCCAGGAAACAUUUUUACAUAGGUAUCUCACUUUUUAACCAACAACCUUAAGAAUCAACUUCCUUUCUCAUAAAUCUUGUAAACCCUUGUAAAAUCUUGUAACACCAGUAUGAAAACAUUUGUUGUCUUUUUUGUGUUGUGAAUUUCCUGAGGUCUCAUUGGUCUAUUUACAUUUAAAUAUAUACCUUGACUAUUUCCAAAUUCUGUGUGUGUGUAUUUUUUCCUUCUUUCAUUUUAUGGAGGACAGCAUCUCCCAAUCAGCCCUGUAUACAAAAUGUAUCAUAAACUGUUCUGGGUUUGUACACAGAUUAAAACUUGACUUCAACCCUUGACCAUUUGCUAAAAAGGUUAAUUUGGAGGAUACUCCCUUCAGGAAGACUGGAAUGUGAUGAGGUGAAUGUGUCAGAAUGAUGUCAUUUAACCUGAGGGUUAUAUUUUCCUAUAUAUAAGGGGUUUUUCUGUAACUAGGGAUUUUUAAUUUUUUUCUGACCACCUUUUUCUUUCUCUCUUUCUCUCAAUAAAAAUGUUGCAUUUGAAA
This is a non-coding RNA of Monodelphis domestica (gray short-tailed opossum), 52788 nucleotides long. The record is from RefSeq and is a predicted model, not a curated record. Lineage: Eukaryota; Metazoa; Chordata; Mammalia; Didelphimorphia; Didelphidae.